RNAcentral lists this long non-coding RNA (71306 nucleotides) under Gossypium barbadense (sea-island cotton). RNAcentral describes it as "long non-coding RNA (GBAR_LNC016767)". The stretch from base 60445 to 60589 matches the Rfam family "MIR7502 microRNA precursor family". Lineage: Eukaryota; Viridiplantae; Streptophyta; Magnoliopsida; Malvales; Malvaceae. The record is from RNAcentral.
GAGAGAUCAAGUGAAACCAAUUUUGACAGGUGGGAGACUUGGGAUGGGACUUCUCCUGCAAACCCUGUAUAAGAAAGGUUGAGGUAGAAUAGGCUAGUAAACCGACCGAACUCGGAUGGAAUUUUGGAAAGAUUAAAAUCAUUGUAGGCAAGGUUGAGUUUUUGAAGGUGAGGAAGAAGGAAGAGAGUGGUAUUGGAAGGGAAGUUGCCAUAUAGCCAACUGCAGCUCAAGUCAAGGGCAAUAACAUGAGCAUUUAGGUGGUCACAAGUGACCCCAUCCCAUGAGCAGCAAUCUGUACCCUCCUUCCAUGAAUUUGUCUUGGGAUAAGAUUUAAGGCCAGCAUAAUCAUUGCAAUAAGAAGAAACAUCCUCUGUUACGGAAAAAGAGUCCUUAAACUGGAUUAGGGAAGAGCAGGAGUGAGAUCCUGAAGAAGAAAAAGAAGCAUAAAGAUGGGGAAAGAAGAGGAAUAGGCAGAGAAAGAGAUAGGGGGCCAUGUUAUGUUUGUAGAGAAAGAAGAAGGAUAGGAAUGGUAUUUGUAGGCAACAAAUAGUACCACAACAUUGGUGUUACAGUAUUUUUUUUUUCUUUUACAUUGAAAAGCUAUGGAUAUUAGAUUUUCAAAAAUUUUGUAUUUUUCACCAUCAUCAACAACCACUUAGUCUUCUUUUUACCAUAUAUUUUUCAUUCUAUUUUUUUAACAAAAUCUUGUAUUUCAUUUCAGCUUUCAAAACAACUAAAAAAUUUAAAAUUGAUGAAAUUACAAAGUAGAUUGACUUAGUCUUCUUUCCUAUAACAUUUAAAAGAAUAUCUUGUCAACCAAAGUUAAUUAAUGUGAAAAUUCUUUUUCACACAAAAGAACAAAAUUGUGCUCUAUUCACUAAGUUAGAGGAAAAAGACUGCUAGAUUUUUUAAUUAUUUUUUCUUUGAAAAAUUUGAAAGUUUUUUACUGCCUUUAAGCCAAUAAAAAAAACAUGUAUUAAUUUUGUUUUUAAAAAUAGUGUGUUUGAUUGUGAAAUGAUUCAUCAUCCUCCACCACAAACUAUCCAUAUUUGCAGUGUGAAAGCAGCUACUUUCAUAAAGAAAUUACUUAGGAGAUGGGAUCCACCAAUUUUACCUAAACUCGCAUCAACAUUGUUUAGCAAUUUCAAAAUAGACUAAUUAGUCUGGUUCAAAUACCAAGACUACAAUAUCUAUUCACUUCACUUGGUCUUGCUUCCUAUCGCUGUCAGCCAAACUUGAUCGACUAGCAGUAAGGAAAUUUCAGUCAUUUGCAGCAUAAUGUACAAGAAUUCCACUCCCGCAAAAUAAUUUACAAUAUGGACUAACACACUAAAAAUGAUUUUUAAAAAAUGAUUUUUAGAAAGUAAUUUUUGAAAAAUGGUUAGAAGAUAAUUUUUGUUUCUGAAAUAGUUAAUUUUUUUUGGUGUUUAGAUAAAUUUUGUUAUGUUUUCAUUGUUUACUUGAGUUUAUUUCAUAAAGCUUAUGUAUAUAUUUUAAUUAAUCAUGUUUUAGUUUUAAUUAAUCUUAAUUUACUUAAUUAAGCUUAAUUGUUAACUUCGUACAUUAGAAUAUAAAUUUAUGUUUAAUUAAGUUGAAAGUGAUAAAUAUUUAUUUUGAAUAUUAUUUGGAUAAGUUGAAAAAUGAUUUAAUUUGAUAAAAUUGAAGUCAGGGUCAUAGAACUAUGCUUUUUACUGACAAAAUCUUAGAUGCAGUGAUUAUUGAGACUAAAAAAUGAAAGUCAUGAAAGAAGACAUAAAUAGUUGAACCAUACAAAAUGUUACAUUUUGUAAUGCAAUGAAAUAUAGAUGAAUUGUUACAAAUAUAAAGACAGAUGCAUUGCAAUGCAACCUUUCUCCAUAGGAAAAAAAAUUUGACAGACUUCAAAACAAGAAAUUAUGAAGAUACAACAUACACACUUGAACAUCAUUUCCACUAACUAGAUCCUUCUUCGUCCAUUGCUGCGACUGCCAUCCUUUGACUUUCUUCUUCGCUACUUCUCAUGUUGGAUUCAACCAAAUUCACCAACCAUUUUGGCUUACUAAUUUGGAAAACAACAUAUCCCACGACCAUUCCAAACACUACUCCGCAUCCAUAACCUAUCAACACCAAUUUCCAACCAAAAGAGAUGUUUGAUUUUGAACCAUCUUUUCCAAGCACAUUUGGAGGUGGUGGCUCAAUGAUGUUGCAACCUUUUGAGACCGGAAAUCCACAUAAUCCCUUGUUUCCUUCAUAUGAAUCAUUUCCAUAUGUGUUGAACUGUUUGCCUUGAGGAAUCUGACCAUGGAGUUGAUUUUCAGAAACAUUGAAGGACGAAAGAAAUGCCAGAUCUGCAAAUCUAUUUCGAAUUGUCCCUGACAACCUGUUUGAAUAUAGGUCCAACCAUUCAAGACUCGUCAAAUUCCCUAUUGAAGUGGGGAUACCACCGUUAUAAACACUGUCAUAUGGCAUGAAUAACAUACUCAUAUAUUUACUGUCACAUGGCAUGAAAAACACACCCUCAUAUUCACUUUCACAUUAGUCAUCAUAAGCUUAUAACAUAUGUCAUAGCAAUCUCAUAUAUAUUCAUAAUUUCACAAUUUCACAAGCGUACAUAUAUCACAUUUAAUCAUAUGCGCGAGAAAACUUACUCUCACUUACUCUUGGAAUUUAGAGUAGGAAUUUAGGCUACCACUAAAUUCUCAUCAAUUAAACAAUGAAUCAUCUACGAGCAACAAUUUCAAACCACAAUGAAUCGAGAGCUCAAACUAGCUCUUCCUCUAACUCGUAGAAGGCUUUAAUGAAUCCGAGGCUUCACACAUGACAAUCACACAAUACUCACAGUCAAAUGACAGCCAAGGACCCACUUAAACUAACCAAAAUAAAAGCCUAAGCUACCUUCUAAUGUAACCAAACCCUUUAGCAUGACGAACUUAAAAUGCAAAUAUAUCAAUCUACACUUAAACAUUUUCACAUGAAACAAGUUUCAGUCAUCCCCCAUAUUCAUUUAUAGCUAAACUCCAAUCUUUAAACCACACAAAACUACAAGUUUCAAGGUAUAACAUUUUUCCACAAAUUUUGACCAUAAUAAUGAAAAUUCAUUAAAACACGGGAAAUCUAUAAUGAAACUUAGAAGUAAUUUUAAAAAACUUCUAAUUAAGUUAAAACAAGUUGAAAAACACUUUUAAAUCACUUUUUCAUCCACAAUCUCGAAUUCCACCAUUAAUGACCCAAUUUUUAGGUUUAAAUUAAAACAUGCAAUUUCAUAACUAAAAUCUCAAUUUUAAAGUCUAGAUAACAUUAAAAACUAAUGAGAAAGUAAAUGGUUACCUUUGAUGAAAGAUUAAACGAGUUUUGAAGUAAAUUUGAAAAACCCACAAUUGAAGAAGAAGAUGAAAUCUAUGGCGUUUUUGAGUGUUUUUCUUGGAAUUAUAAGAAAUCAAAGUACUAUUGUUUGGGAAUAAAAAUUAAUUGAAAGAUCAAGGGAAUAGCAAAGGACGGCAAUAGCAAACUUUGGAGAGUAACUAUUGUGAAAUAGAACAGGGAAUGGGGUUUAUUAGGUUCAAUUUAAAACAUUGGUAAAACUUCAAUCUAAGUGCUCACUAUUUUAACUUUGUUACAAAUUAGUUCUUUUUCUAAAUUUUAGGUAUUUAAAACUCAUUUUCAGAAAUCGGCUCAAUUCCCUAAUAGCCAUUGUCGAAAACAUUAUUGAAUACUAACCUUACGAAAUUUUGAUUACAUAUAGGCUAAAAUUCCUAAAAAAAAAUUGAAACUCUUAGAUCCUAUUUUGGGGUGUUCACGUAUGGUCAUGAUUCAUGUUGAAUUAAUACAUCAUUCACCGUAAUAAGGCUUAUCGUUGUAAUAAUUAGUUAAAUCACCUAAUAUCUAAAAAAUUAUUAUUAUUUUCAUAAAAUCAUUGAUCAAAUUAUUGUUUUCAAAUUUCAUACAUAAAAUUAACAAAUAAAGAUAGCUCUAAAUAGCAAAACCCAAUAUGUGUAACAAGUAUUUUUAUUAAUCCAUUUGGAAUGUUAAGGUUUGCUGGAGCAAAUAAAUUGAUUAAUGCUUUGAACUUUCCAAACACUUUUUAUAGUUUUGUUAUAUGCAUUUUGUAUAAUUAGUAUAUUUGAAUAUAUUAGAUACAUCGUCUAAAACAAUGCCAAUUGUAAUUUUUUUAUAUUUUGUUGAUCAUAAGCGUAUUAUAUAAAUAAUUUAAAAAAAAAAAGAUGGAGUGAUACAUUUAUGUAGUGCUUAUGAAUAUAAUGUUGGAUUAAAAUCCUUAAUUAUGAGUACAUAUGUAUAUGCUUGAUAUUACAAUUAUCUUAAUAAUUUUGUUUCUGUUCUUGUUGAUUGAUGAUUAUAGAAAUCAUUAUUCUUCUGAAGGCAUACUUUGUUGUCAAUGACAGUACCUGCACCCUAAAAAAGUCACCAGCUUUAACGACUACAAAAGUUGUCCUGCCUGAUAUUUAUUAAAAAAUCACCAGGAAGCACAUUGUCAGGACAUCCUUGCUGGAAAAAAACUUGGUAGGAUGGUUUUUCUGUGCAAACUUAGUAAUUAAUUUAUGUUGUUUUUACCAAACUUUGUAGCGUUUCACUUUUGGUAAAAUUUCAUCCUUGGUCCCUUUAAACUCCUUUUUGCUUUAAUUUGAUUGCUUUCUAGCGUUGCAAAUUACAUAACACUCUUCAAAUGUCUUAUUAAAUUCUCACUUUUACGAGUGCUAUGUUAAUCAAUUUUAAGUUCCAUAUAACACUUACAUGGCUACAAAAUGUGUGUGUGUGUAAGUGUCCUCAACCACAAACAAUCCAAAUUUGCUGAGAAACCACCCAUUAUAUAUAGGUUUGCCAAUGAGAUGGCAAGCAGACUGCUAGCUAGAAAUUCAUGCAUCUUUGAAUCACCAAUUCAAUUAAUAAGCUUAACUAGAGGAAAUAAGGACUUUACACCACCAAUUAAAGCAACCUAUAUGUACCCUUUUACAGUCUGCAUUGUUCCAUGUUUCCAUUCAUUACAUCAUUCCUUCAACUCUGCUAUAUAUUAUUACCGUCUCCAGAAAACCAAACCUUUUACUGCUAACUUGUAAAAAAAUUAUGAAAAUACAACAGAGAUCAUUGAGACAUUGUUGAAGUUGGCUUGCAUGCAGACCAAGAAGCACACCAAGCUGUCCGAGAUAUGCAAGUUGCAGCUGAAGCUUAUGCUGCUGUUUUGUUACUUUCAAAUAGAUAUUUUAUUAUUUACUUAGAUAUGAACUAAGUUGCUGAUAUGCUUGAUGUAAUUAGGAGCUGAUAGAUUGAUAAAUCAGCUUUACCAAGUGUACAAGCAAUGUUUAUCAAGUUACUAAGCCACUUAGUGGAGUUAGGUAUGUGUUUAGGUAACAUUUUCUUAUUUUUGACCAGCUGAUUGCUUGCUAUAUGUAAUGGCAUUGUGCCUUCAUUCAAAUGUAAAGAAAUCUUUCAGAAAAUUCUUCUUCAUUUGGUCUUUACCUAAGCAUUUUUUUUCACGAAGCUCUUGCUGUUUUUGUUUUGUUUGUUGAGCAAGAUAACAAUGCUUUAUGCUUAAGUUUCUGUCAAAAUUUCUCAUUCUGUUUUCUUAGUUCCUACAGACAUUUUGUUCUCCUUUCUCCUUUACUGAGCAGUAGCAAAGAUUAUCGAGACUAAAUUGAAAUCCAUGAAAGAAGACAUAAACAACACCACCAUACAAAAUGUCACACUCAAACAAACCAUUACAGAUACGAAAUGCAAUGAAAGACAGAGGAAUUGGUACAAUAAUAAAGACAGCCAGAUACCAAUGCAACCCUUCACCAUAGGCAAAACGGUCUACAAACAAGAAAUUAUGAAAAAUACAACACUAAUUCUUGAACAUCAUUUGCAGUAAUUAAAUCCUUCUUCGUCUACUGCUGUGAUUGCCUUUCUUUGACUUUCUUCUUCGCCUCUUCUCAUGUUGGUUUUCAACCAAAUUCACCAACCAUUUUGGCUUACCAGUUUGGAAAACAACAUAUCCCACGGACAUUCCGAACACUACUCCGCAUCCAUAACCUAUCAACACCACUUUCCAACCAAAAGCAAUGUUUGAUUUUGAGCCAUCUUUUUCAAGCACAUUUGGAGGUGCUGGAUCAAUGAUGUUGCAACCUUUCGAGACCGGAAACCCACACAGUCCCUUAUUUCCUUCAUAUGAAUCAUUUCCAAAUGUGUUGAAUUGUUUGCCUUGAGGAAUCUGACCAUGGAGUUGAUUUUCAGAAACAUUGAAGGACGAAAGAAAUGGCAGAUCUGCCAAUCUAUUUGGAAUCGUCCCAGACAACCUGUUUGAAGAUAGGUCCAACCAUUCAAGACUUGUCAAAUUCCCUAUUGAGGUGGGGAUAUCACCAAUAAGGUUAUUAUGAGAAAGGUUGAGCCCUUUCAGUAAGUUAAGCUUCCCAAUAACCUUUGGAAUACCCCUUUCAAACUGAUUGUUUGAUAGAUCAAUGAUCAUCCACAUGGUGAAAAUUUUCACCAAUUCCCUAUCUUGUCCUUUCAUAACAAUUCCAAUGGAAUAGGUAUAGAAGCCAACUCCAUAAUCAUGCACCCCCAUGUAUGACACUGUACUACCAAUCUUCUCUAGAUUUAUGAUAGCCUUGAAGCUGUUGAUGUAUCUCACUGGUAGGGGUCCAGAAAAAUAAUUACUUGAGAGAUCAAAAAUUUGGAUUUUAGAGAAAAAAGGGAUAGACUUGGAGCUAUUGACACAUAAGGAACCAUGCAGUUGAUUUGACUUCAAUACAAGAACUUGUAGCUGUGGAAGACUUCCCAACCAGUGAGGAAAUGUAUCAUUGAUCUUGUUGUUACCAAGAUCUAGCACUUCCAGACCUCUACAAUUAAGGAUGGAUGGUGUCAAAGGCCCUUCUAACAGAUUUCCAUUUAAGUUGAAAUUACUCAAUCGGCAUCCCUUUGCAAAUGCUGGAGGAAUCGUCCCAUAAUACUUGUUCUUCUUCAGAUUCAAGAAUAGAAGGCUGUUGCUCAAAUUUCCAAAACAUUGUGGAAUUGUUCCACUCAAGUUAUUGUGGGACAAAUCAAGAAUUUCAAGAAAAGCGGCAUUGCAUAUUAAAGAAGAGACCUCUCCAUUGAAACUAUUAUUUGAGAUCAAAAAGACUCUUAUGGUCGAAGCUGGAAUCGGAAGAUUUCCACUGAUCAAAUUGGAGCUUAAGUCAAGAACAUCAAUAUUCUUCCAUGGAAAGUGCUCAACUUCUGUCAAAGUGUUGUGAGAUACAUUUAAGUGAGUCAAAGAGCCAUUCCCCACCUCUCGCAUCCACUGUGGAAUCUUGCCUUCAAUUUUGUUGCAAGAGAGGUGUUGAAGUAAUGGUCAGCAUGCAGCAACCAAGACUGUCAAAGGCACUACAUGCAGAAGCUGCUGGUUCACCUAGUCAGCAAGCUGUUUAUGUUUCAUUUUGUAAUUUUAAGUUAGAGUAAUGUAACUUAGUUGCUUUAUAACUAUGUUAGGUUUAUGUUUGAUGUAAUUUUGAUGUUGACUGAGCUGAUAAAUCAGCUUUGUUUGUUUAUUCAAGCUAAUUAGCACAAGUUACUAUGUGUAUUAGUGGUAGUAGGUGAAGUUUAGGUCAACCUACUGUUUUGUCAAGAUUGUAAACUUGUUUUAUGUAUUGGCUUUGUGCCAUAUUUAGUUUGAUGAAUGAAUUCAAGAAGUUAUCAUCCAUAUGCUCUCCAUUUUUAGUUUUGCUUAAAAAUCCAUUUGAGUUUUCUGCUUUGUUUCUCCUACAAGUCACGAGACUUGCCAUACAAGCAUUCUGCUGAAGCUUGCUGCUGCUGCCUCUUGCACCAACAAUUGGUAUCUAGAGCCACAUUCUUAGAGGACCUGUUGUAGUUCAGUAUCAAAACGAUGGCAUCAUCAGGUUUUUCACCAGCUUCACCACCUGUCUUCAAUGGAGAGGGCUUCAACAUUUGGGCAGUUAAGAUGAGGACUUACCUGCAGGCAUUCGACCUAUGGGAAGUUGUUAACUCAGAUGCUGAGCCAGCACCUCUUCGAGCUAAUCCAACAGUUGCUCAAAUAAGGCAACACACUGAUGAAAGGACAAAAAGGCACAAGGCCAUGUCAUGCAUACAGAAUUGUGUGACAGAUGUGAUCUUUAUGAGGAUCAUGGCCUGUGAGACACCAAAGGAGGCUUGGGACAAGCUGAAAGAAGAAUUUCAGGGGACUGAGAAAACAAGGCAACAACAGCUGCUCAAUUUGAGAAGAGAUUUCGAAAAUCUCAAAAUGAAAGAGGAAGAAACAGUUAAGCAGUACUCAGACCGGAUUAUGGCUGUUGUAAACAGCAUAAGGCUCCUAGGAGAGCAAUUCAGUGAAGCUAGAAUGGUUGAGAAAGUCAUGUCCACUCUACCAGAGAGGUAUGAAGCUAAAAUUUCAUCCCUCGAAGACUCAAGGGACUUGACAACUAUCUCCUUAACUGAGCUAAUCAAUGCCUUGUAUGCAUAAGAGCAAAGAAGAGCUAGCAGACAAGAGGAGCACCAGGAAGGGGCUUUUCAAGCCAAAGAAGCCUCGAGCAUCAAAACUCAUAAAGGCAAAAAGUUCUGGAAAAACAAGCCUAAGCCUGAUGCUGCUAGGAGCAGUGACCAACUCUGCAGACAUUGUAAAAGAGCUGGUCAUCCAGAAGAUAGAUGCUGGUUUAGACCAGAUGCAGUAUGCCAAAACUGCAAGAAAAAAGGCCAUGUUGAAAAAGUUUGCAAGAAUAGAAGCAAACCAAGACAGAAUCAAUUUCAGCAACAAAAGGUGGAAGCUCGAGUAGCUGAAGAAAGUAGUGAUCAAGAAGAACAUGUUUUUGCUGUGUCAUGUGCAGCAAAUCAGAAGAAGGGUUCAAAGGGCUGGCUUCUAGACAGUGGGUGCACAAACCACAUGUCACCAGAUGCAACUAUCUUCAAAACCCUGGACAGAACCUGCAAAACCAAAGUAAAAAUUGGAAAUGGUCAGUUAAUCAAUGCUGAAGGAAGAGGAGAUGUGCUGAUUCAUACUUCUACAGGUGGCAAAAUCAUUUCAAAUGUACUUUUGGUACCUGAAAUCGAUAGGAACCUUCUCAGUAUAACUCAACUACUUGAGAAAGGUUACUCAGUUGUUUUCAAGGAGAAAGAAUGUCAAAUUUUUGAUCCAAGUGGAUCAAAUCUUAUAACAGUCACCAUGACUGAUAAAUGUUUUGAAGUAGACUGGCCAAAUGACUCACAUUCAGCCUGCAUAGCCUCCACUAAUGACUCGAGACUCUGGCAUCAGAGGCUUGGACAUGCAAACUACAAAUCCAUAGCCCGCAUGGUCAAUGAAGGUCUGGCAGAAAAUUUCAUUGAUUCAGUGAAGAAUGAUGAGCUUUGUGAGAUAUGUCAGCAAGGAAAAUUGGCAAGAUUGCCAUUUCCAACAAGCACAACAUGGAGAGCAUCAGAGAAGCUCCAGCUUGUGCAUACAGAUGUGUGUGGACCAAUGAAGACUGAGUCUCUCAAAGGAAGCAGGUACUUUAUUUUAUUUAUUGAUGACUUAACAAGAUACUGCUGGAUUUAUUUUCUAAAACAGAAAUCAGAAGUACCAUCUAUGUUCCUGAAGUAUAAGGCUGCUGUUGAAACUGAGUCUGGUUGCAAACUUAGAGCAAUGAGGUCAGAUAAUGGAACUGAGUACACCUCAGCUCAGUUCCAAGUCUACUGUGAAGAAGCAGGUAUCAAACACCAGUUGACUAAUGUGUAUACACCCCAACAGAAUGGGGUCAGUGAAAGGAAAAACAGAAGCUUGAUGAACAUGGCAAGAUGUCUUCUGUUUGAGAAGAAUUUGCCCAAAAGUCUGUGGGCUGAAGCUGUUAACACAGCAGUUUAUCUCUAAAAUAGGCUCCCAACCAAGGCUCUGGCUGAGAAGACUCCAUUUGAAGCCUGGUUUGGGUUUAAGCCAUCACUGGCUCAUCUCAGAACCUUUGGUUGUCUGUGCUAUACUCAAGUUCCAGCUGAGAAGAGAAGCAAGCUAGACAAAAGAGCUCAAGCAGGGAUCCUGAUCGGCUACAGCUUGGUUAAGAAGGGCUACAGAAUUCUAGAACCUGCUACAAACAAGAUAUUGGUUAGCAGGGAUGUUGUUUUCAAUGAAAAAGGACACUGGAAUUGGGAGAAGGCUGAACCAGAGGCAGUGGCUGAAGAUCUGGCAGUGGACCAAGUUGAAAAUGGUGAAAACACACCUGAAAUGGAUGUAGAUGAUGUUCCAAUCAGAGGCACUCGAUCACUGGCUGAUGUUUAUGAAAGAGCACAAGUGGCUACUGUUGAACCAAAUUGCUUUGAAGAAGCAGAAAACCAGGAGGACUGGAAGCAAGCAAUGAUUGAAGAAAUCAGAAUGAUUGAAAAGAAUCAGACCUGGAGUCUGGUUGAUAAACCAACAAACAGGAAGAUUAUUGGUGUCAAAUGGGUUUAUCGAGUAAAGAACAAUGCUGAUGGUAGCCUAAACAAGUUAAAGGCUAGAUUGGUUGUGAAAGGCUUCAGUCAAAGGUAUGGAUCAGACUACCUGGAAACCUUUGCACCAGUGGCCAGGUUAGACACUAUUAGACUGCUAGUUGCCUUAGCAGCACAAAAACAGUGGCUGAUACACCAACUUGAUGUAAAAUCAGCAUUUCUGAAUGGAUUCCUUGAAGAGGAGAUUUAUGUGGAGCAACCUCAAGGUUUCAAGGUGUCUGGCAAAGAAGAUAUGGUGUACAAGCUCAACAAAGCCUUGUAUGGCUUGAAACAGGCUCCAAGGGCCUGGUAUAGCAGAAUAGAUGGCUAUCUGACCAGUCAAGGAUUUGAAAGAAGUCUUAGCGAGCCAACUCUGUAUGUUAAAUCAACUAGUGCUGAAACUCAGCUCAUUGUCUCAAUAUAUGUCGAUGACCUACUGGUGACAGGAGGAGAUCAUGAGAUGCUAAGCAGUUUUAAAGUCAAAAUGCAACAGCACUUUGAAAUGUCAGACUUGGGAUUGAUGUCUUACUUCUUAGGCAUGGAAGUAACUCAAGCUAAGAAUGGGAUUUGGCUAAGUCAAAAGACCUUUGCUAUGAAGGUUCUCAACAAAUUCUCAAUGGAGAAUUGCAAAGCAACCAGCACACCAGUUGCUGUUGGAGAAAAACUCUCGAGCCAAGACAAGCAUGAAAAGGUUUGUGAAACAACCUAUCGAAGUCUAGUUAGAUGUUUGUUGUAUUUGACUGCUACUAGACCUGACAUAAUGUAUGCUGUGAGUCUACUCUCGAGGUUUAUGCAUUCUUCAAAUGAAAGUCAUUUUAGAGCUGCAAAAAGGGUUCUAAGAUACAUCAAAGGAACUUUGUCCUAUGGAAUGCAGUUUACCAAGGCUGAGAACUUGAGGCUAGUUGGAUAUUGUGACAGUGAUUGGGCUGGUUCUUUGGAUGACAUGAAGAGCACUACAGGUUAUGCAUUCAACAUAGGCUCUGCUAUGAUAUGCUGGAGCUCAAAGAAGCAAGGAGUAGUGGCUCAGUCGACUGCAGAAGCAGAAUAUGUGGCUGCUGCUGCAGCAGUCAAUCAAGCCAUAUGGCUUAGAAAAAUUUUGAAAGAUAUCAAUCAUGAGCAAAAGGAAGCAACUGAGAUAAUGUCUGACAACCAAUCAGCAGUUGCUAUUGCAAAGAAUCCUGUUUUUCAUGGAAGGACCAAGCACUUCAACAUCAAACUUCAUGCAGUUCGGGAAAUGGAACAAGCUCAUGUUGUUAAGCUGAUACAUUGCAGUUCUGAAGAGCAAAUUACUGAUAUUUUAACAAAAGCACUAAGUGUUUCCAAGUUUCAACACCUGAGAGCUAAUAUGGGAGUUUGCAACAUGCUAACCAAGGAGGAGUGUUGAAGUAAUGGUCAGCAUGCAGCAACCAAGACUGUCAAAGGCACUACAUGCAGAAGCUGCUGGUUCACCUAGUCAGCAAGCUGUUUAUGUUUCAUUUUGUAAUUUUAAGUUAGAGUAAUGUAACUUAGUUGCUUUAUAACUAUGUUAGGUUUAUGUUUGAUGUAAUUUUGAUGUUGACUGAGCUGAUAAAUCAGCUUUGUUUGUUUAUUCAAGCUAAUUAGCACAAGUUACUAUGUGUAUUAGUGGUAGUAGGUGAAGUUUAGGUCAACCUACUGUUUUGUCAAGAUUGUAAACUUGUUUUAUGUAUUGGCUUUGUGCCAUAUUUAGUUUGAUGAAUGAAUUCAAGAAGUUAUCAUCCAUAUGCUCUCCAUUUUUAGUUUUGCUUAAAAAUCCAUUUGAGUUUUCUGCUUUGUUUCUCCUACAAGUCACGAGACUUGCCAUACAAGCAUUCUGCUGAAGCUUGCUGCUGCUGCCUCUUGCACCAACAAGAGGUCUAAGCUUUCCAAACUUUUAAGCCCUUUUAAAAAUUGGGGGAAUUCACUAAGAUUGCAAGAUGACAAAAAUAAGCUUGUAAGAUUAACAGUAGAAGUUGUAUUAGAUGUUAAGGAUAGGCUGUUAUAUGAAAGGUCAAGAUAUUCGAGAUUUGGAAGGUUUGAGAACAUGCGAAACUCUAUGACACCACUAAGAUAAUUUGAGGAUAAGCUAAGUUGGGUAAGAUUGAGAAGUUGGAAUAUUGAAGAUGGAAGAGGACCUUGGAGUUUAUUAUUCUCUAACCAUAUCCAUUCUAGUGAUUUGGAUUGGAAUUCUUUGAUAUGCCCACUGAAUUGAUUUUGAGAGAGAUAUAUUGUCUUUAAGGAGGGAGCAAUAUACAACCAUGACGGAAGUGUUCCAUUGAGUAAAUUGUCAGAUAAGUCUAAAUAUAUUAGAUUAUGAAAAGCGGUUACCUCAUCUGGAAUGGAACCUUCUAAAGAAUUGUUAGAUAUUGUCAAGUAUUCCAGCUGCGUUAGGUUUAGAAUUGACAAUGGAAUUUGUCCACUCAAUUUGUUCCAUCCCAAGUCUAAAACAGUGAGUUGCAAGAGGUUCCCCAAUGAUCUUGGAAUCUGUCCACUCAAUUGGUUCAGCCACAAGUCUAAAUGAGUGAGUUGCAAGAGGUUCCCUAAUGAUCUUGGAAUUUGUCCACUCAAUUGGUUCUUCGACAAGUCUAAAUGAGUGAGUUGCAAGAGGUUCCCCAAUUUUCUUGGAAUUUGUCCACUCAAUUGGUUCUCCGACAAGUCUAAAUGAGUGAGUUUCAAGAGAUUCCCCAGUGAUCUUGGAACCAGUCCUGAUAAGUUGGAAUGGGAGAGAACUAAAAACUUCAAGGACACAAGAUUCCCCAUCGAGUCAGGCAAUCCUCCACAAAUAUUUGCGUCUGAAAUUAUCAAUUGUUCAAGAUUGCUGCUCCGAUUGAACUUCAAAGGAUCAAGAUUGAGGUUUUGGUUGCCUCCCAAGUUGAGGAGAUUGAGGUUUGGCAAAUCAAAAAUGUUUUUUGGGAAUUUUCCUUGCAAAUCACAACCAACAAGACUGAGAGACCUUAGAGAAGAGGAUAGAUUCAUGAAGACAUGAGCAUUAACUGAAGACAUGUCCAUUUCAUCCAAAAACAGACGUCUGACCUCGGUUAGGUUGUGAACAAGACCCUCCAGAGCAUAUUUGUCAAUUGUUAAUAGUUCAUCAAACCCAGAAAGAUCAAGUGAAACCAAUUUUGACAGGUGGGAGACUUGGGAUGGGACUUCUGAAAACCAUGUAUUGGAAAGGUUGAGGUAGAAUAGGCUUGUAAACCGACCGAACUCGGAUGGAAUUUUGGAAGAAUUAAAAUCAUUGUAGGCAAGGUUGAGUUUUUGAAGGUGAGGAAGAAGGAAGAGAGUGGUAUUGGAAGGGAAGGUGCCAUAUAGCCAACUGCAGCUCAAGUCAAGGGCAAUAACAUGAGCAUUUAGGUGGUCACAAGUGACCCCAUCCCAUGAGCAGCAAUCUGUACCCUCCUUCCAUGAAUUUGUCUUGGGAUAAGAUUUAAGGCCAGCAAAAUAAUCGCAAUGAUCAAAAGAAGCAUCCUCUCUUAUGGAAAAGGAGUCCUUAAACUGGAUUAGUGAAGAGCAGGAGUGAGAUCCUGAAGAAGAAAAAGAAGCAUAAAGAUGGAGAAAGAAGAGGAAUAGGGAGAGAAAGAGAUAGGAGGCCAUGUUAUGUUGGUAGAGGAAGAUGAAGGAUAGGAAUGGUAUUUAUAGGCAACAAAUAAUACCACAACAUUGGUGUUACAGUCUUUUUUCUUUUACAUUGAAAAGCUAUGGAUAUUAGAUUUUCAAAAUUUUUGUAUUUUUCACAAUCAUCAACAACCACUUUGUCUUCAUUUUACCAUAUAUUUUUCAUUCUUAAAAUUGGAUUAUUUUCUUUUAGCAAAAUCUUGUAUUUCAUUUGAACUCCCUAAACAACUAAAAAAUUAAGAUUGAUAAAAUUACAAAGUAGAUUGACUUAGUCUUCUUCCUUGUAACACGUAAAGAAUUUCCACGCAAAAGAACAAAAUUGUGCUCUAUUCUUUACGUUUGAGGAAGAAGACUGCUGGAAUUUUAAUCCACUGAUUCCAUAAAAACGUGUAUACUUAUAUAUAUAUAUAUUUAUAACCUCAUAAUUUAAAUCUAAAAUCUCAUUUGUUAUAAAUUCUGAUAAAUUUAUUUGGGAAUUGCUAUUUUUCAUUCGUUAAUUAUUUCUCUUUUAAUCGAGUAAAAAAUUAAAACUAAAGACAUAAUGAUUUAUUUGGUAUUUUUUAACUUCGCAAACGAAAAAUUAUUUUAGCUUUCUAUUUUUUUUUAUCUCUUUUAGUCUUGAAAUUUAUAUGGUUCAUUAAAUCACCCAAAAAAAUGAUGAAAAAAAUAACAAAACUAGCACCUACGUGGCUGAUGUUGACCCUUAAUAGUUAAUGGCAACACCUAUGUAGUUGUUAACAGAUACCACACCAACACUGUUUGUUGACGUGACAAUGCCACAUGAUCAAUAAUCGCAGACAUGGUAGCGCCACGCCAUCGCCCAUUGAUGACAUAUUAACCUUUGAGUUAAACUCAAAUAAUUUGGUCCCAAAUAGUUUUCAACACAAAAGAAUAGAGGAAGAAGACUGCUACAGGUUUAACUAUCAAUUGUCUAUUGACUAUACUUUUAACUCCACUAAAAAAGACCAAGACUAAGACUAUCAAUUGUCUAUUGACUACACUUUAACUCGACAAAAAAAGACCAAGACUAAGACUAUCAAUUGUCUAUUGGCUUCACACUUGCUGUUGCUUCCUCCUAUUUCUCUCACCCAAACUUAAUUUACAAGCAAUGUGGAAAUUUUGGACAUUUGCCCACAACGUACAAUACUUCCACACCAUUUGCAGUAUUGACUACGUUUACUUGAGGGAAAACAAAGACAUGAACGCUGGAAAUUUUAACUAGUUUGUACCGUCAAUGAAGCUACGUACCUAAAAGCCAUUUAGGAUAUCAAUUCCUGUAAUUGGAGUAAUCUCAUCGUUGCUGCAAUCUUUUGACAGUUUAAUCGAAUCUUAAAUAUGUUACUCUGCAAUGCUAUUGUAAAUAUUUUUCUUAAAUUUGUCGAUAGAUUUAUAGGUUUGGCACAAAAUUAAGAAUACACAAAGGCAGGUUGAAUUAUUCCAUGUUUGAACAUCUGCAACAUAAAUGCAUAUGGCAAAAGGGCUCAAACCAUACCUUAUGUUCAUGAAUUCUCAUCAUCACGUGUUUAUAAAUGCAACUCAAACUUCAAUAAUUGAAUCUUUUGUAAUUCUACAUGUAUUUUUUUAUUAUGGCGAGCAGUAUAAUGUUUACUAAAAAUUGAAAUUCAAGAAAGAAGACAUAUAUAGUUGCACCAUACAAGAUGUUACACUCGAACUAAACGCUUACAAAUAGUACGAAAUGCAAUUGAAUACAGAGGAAUUGGUACAAUCAUAAAAACAGACACAUACCAAUGCAACUUUUCACCAUAGGAAAAACUUUCUGACAGACUACUAAACAAGAAAUUAUGAAGACACAGUAGAAAUGCUUUAACUUCAUUUGCACCAACUAGAUCAUUCUUCAUCCACUCAUGCGAUUGCUAUAUUUUGGCUUUCUUCUUCGCCUCUUCUCAUGUUGGUCUUCAACCAAAUUCACGAACCUUUUCACCUUAUCGGUUUGGAAAACAACACAUCCCAUGGCCAUUCCAAACACUACCCCGGAUCCAUAACCUAUCAACACCACUUUCCAACCAAAAGCAAUGUUUGCUUUUGAGCCAUCCUUUUCCAGCACAUUUGGAGGUGGUGUCUCAUUGAUGCUGCAACCUUUGGAGACUGGAAAUCCACAUAGUCUCUGUUUCCUUCGUAUGAAUUGUUUCCAAAUGUAUUGAACUGUUUGCCUUGAGGAAUCUGACCAUGGAGUUGAUUUUCGGAAACGUUUAAUAAGGAAAGAAAUGCCGGAUCUGCCAAUAUCUCUGGAAUUAACUCAGUUCAAAAGACUAUAUAACUCGUAAAGUUUGGUCGAAGACUAGCAGGGGUCAAGAAAAAUAAUUACUUGAAUUGUCAAAAUUUUGGAUUUUAGAGAAACAAGCACUAGACUUGGAGCUAUGGUCAUGCAAGGAACCAUGCAUUUCAUUUGACUUUAGUACAAGAACUUGUAGCCGUGGAAGACUUCCCUACCAAUGAGGAAAUGUAUCAUUGAUCUUGUUGUUCCUAAGAUCUAGCACUUCCAAAGACCUAAAAUUGAGGAUGGAUGGUGACAAAUGCCAUUCAAAUUGAUUUCCAUUUAAGUUGAGAUUACUCAAUUGGCAUCCCUUUGCAAAUGUUGGAGGAAUCAAUCCAUAAAACUUGUUCUUCUUUAGAUUCAAAAAUUCCAGGUUGUUGCUCAAAUUUCCAAAACAUUGUAGAAUAGUUCCACUCAAUUUAUUGUGGGACAAGUCAAGAAUUUGGAGAGCACUCACAUUGCCUAUCAAAGAAGAGACCUCUCCACUUAAACUAUUGUUUGAAGUAAAAAACACGUUGAUUGUCGAAGAUGGGAUUGGAAGAUUUCCAUGGAUCAAAUUGGAGCUUAAGUCAAGAAUAUUAAUAUUCUUCCAUGGAAGUUGCUCAACUUCUGUCAAUGAAUUGUGAGAUAAAUUUAAGUAACUCAAAGAGUCACACGUCACUUCUUGCAGCCAUUGUGGAAUCUUCCCUUCAAUUCUAUUGUUAGAAAGCUCCAAAGUUUUCAACUUUUUUAACCCUUUCAAAAAUCGGGGGAAUUGGCUGACAUUAUUUGAGCUUAAGGAUAGGCUGUUUAGUGAAAGGUCAAGAUAUUCGAGAUUUGGGAGAUUUGAGAACAUGCCAAACUCUAUGACACCACUGAAAUUAUUUGAGUAUAAAAGGAGCCAGGUAAGGUUGAGAAAUUGGAAUAUUGAAGAUGGAAGAGGACCUUGGAGAUUAUUAUUCCCUAACACUAUCAUUCUAGUGAUUUGGAUUGGAAUUCUUUGAUGUGUCCACUGAAUUGAUUCUGAGAGAGAGAUAUUUCCAUUAAGGAGAAAGCAUUAUACAACCAUGACAGAAGUUUUCCAUUGGGUAAAUUGUUAGAUAAGUCUAAAGAUAUUAGAUUAGGGAAAGCAGCUACCUCAUCUGGAAUGGGACCUUCUAAAGAAUUUUCAGCUAUUCUCAAGUGUUCAAGCUGUGUUAGGUUUACAAUUGACAAUGGAACUUGUUCACUCAAUUGGUUCCAUGACAAGUCUAAAUAUAUGAGCCACAAGAGGUUCCCCAGAGAUCUCGAAAUUGAUCCCUGUAAAUUGGAAUUAGAGAGAGACAAAUAUUUCAAGACGUGCAGGUUGUCAAUCAAAUCAAUCAAUUUUGAAAAGGAGGACAUCCAUGACAGAUCCAAAUGUUCAAGAUUACUGCUCUGAUUGAACUUCAGAAGAUCAAGAAUCAGGUUUCGGUUGUAUCCUAAGUUGAGCAAAUUGAGGUUUGGCGAAUGAAGAACGUUUCUUGAGAAUUUUCCUUGCAAAUCACAACCACCAAGACUGAGAGACUUUAUAGAAGAGGAUAGAUUGAUGAAAACAUUAGGAUUAAUAGAAGGCAUGAUAAUUCUAUCAAGAAAAAGAUGUCUCACCUCAGUUAGGUUGUGAACAAGUCCCUUCAAAGAAUUUUAUCAAGUGUUAAUUGGUCAGAAAAAACAUUAUGAGAGAGAUCAAGUGAAACCAAUUUUGACGAGUGGGAGAUUUGGGAUGGGACUUUUCCUGCAAAUAACGUUUCUGAGAUGUUAAGAUACACCAGGCUUGUAAACCGGCCGAACUCGGAUGGAAUUUUGGAAAGAUUAAAAUCAUUGUAGGCAAGGUUGAAUUUUUGAAGGUGAGGAAGAAGGAAGAGAGUGGUAUUGGAAGGGAAGUUGCCAUAUAGACAACUGCAGCUCAAGUCAAGGGCAAUAUAUAACUUGAGCAUUUAGGUGGUCACAAGUGACCCCAUCCCAUGAGCAGCAAUCUGUACCCUCAUUCCAUGAAUUUGUCCUGGGAUAAGAUUUAUGGCCAUCAAUCUCAUUGCUAUAAGAAGAAGCAUACUCUGUUAUGGAAAAAGAGUCCUUAAACUGGAUUAGUGAAGAGCAGGAGUGAGAUCCUGAAGAAGAAAAAGAAGCAUAAAGAUGGGGAAAGGUUAAGGUAGAAUAGGCUUGUAAACCGACCGAACUCGGAUGAAAUUUUGGAAAGAUUAAAAUCAUUGAAGGCAAGGUUGAGUUUUUGAAGGUGAGGAAGAAGGAAGAGAGUGGUAUUGGAAGGGAAGUUGCCAUAUAGCCAACUGCAGCUCAAGUCAAGGGCAAUAACUUGAGCAUUAAGGUGAUGACAAGUGACCCCACACCAUGAGCAGCAAUCUGUACCCUCCUUCCAUGAAUUUGUCUUGGGAUAAGAUUUAAGGCCGGCAAAAUCAUCGCAACACAAAGCAGCAUGGCCUGUCUGAGUGAUCGAAAAUGAAUUCUUGAACUGGAUUAGAGAAGCAGCUUCGUGGUGAGAGCAGGAGUGAGAUCCUGAAGAAGAAGAAGCAUAAAGAUGGGGAAAGAAGAGGAAUAGGCAGAGAGAGAGAUAGGGGCCAUGUUAUGUUUGUAGAGGAAGAUGAAGGAUAGGAAUGGUAUUUAUAGGCAACAAAUAGAAUCCAAUAUUAAACAAAAGAUUUGAUGAUUAAUACCACAACACCACUGUUACAGUGUUGUUUCUUUUAUGGUAUAAAGAUUGUUAUUGGAAGAGUUUGAAAUGCUGACAUUGAAAACCUAUAUUUUUCAAUACUCAUCAACAACCACUUCCUUUUUACCAUAUCUUUUUCAUUCCCAAAAUUGGAUACAUUGUUUUACCAAAAUUUUGUAUUUCAUUUGAACUCCCUAAACAACUGAGAAAAUUAACAUUGAUGAGAUUACAAAGUAGAUUGACUUAGUCUUCUUCCUUAUAAUAGGUAAAAAAAAAAUGUGAGUGUCUAUUCACUUAUAAUAUUUCCAUGCUAGAGGUAGUUUUUGGAAAAUCUUUAAUUAAAUCUUAAUUUCAUUUUGUUAAAAUUUUAAACUGGGUUAUCGAAUUGGCUUCUGAUUGUAGGUUGAUCAAUGAUGGGCCGAUUUCUUCUUCUUCUUUUUUAAUUUUUUUAGGGUUAAUUUAUAAUAUACUGCUUAAUGUUGUUGAUUUAUUUUUCUGGUCAUCGUUUCAUCCGUUUGUUGAAGAUAACUGAAUUUUUAUUGGUUGUAAUUGGACUUGGGUUUUAGCCAAUGACUAUAAUCAAAGGGUUAAUUUAAGGUUCCAAUGAAUUGUUUGAAAAUUUUAUUAUUUUUCUUUUCAAUUAGUUGUUUUACAAGGAUUUAACUUAUAUUAGUCAAAUGAACUGGCUUUAAAAAAUGAACAAGAACGAAGAAAUUGGAUGGUUAACUGGACACUGGAAAGGGGGAAUGCUAAAAGUUGUAAAUGUUUUGAAUAUAGAGUUGUAUUCUUUUCAUGGCUUCAGAAAAAUGUAUGCAAUGUUUGGCCAGCGAUAAUGGACAAGUUUUUUUAAACCUCCAUGCCUUAGUCAUGCUUUCAUAAACAUGGGCAGCUAACACCGAGAAGUCUCAUUGAAUGUAGUAAGCGAUUUAAAAGUGAAGCUCAUAUGCGACCGGGGAUGGUUGAUUUGAGGUUUAAUUCUAGCUAGUAGAUUCUGUUGUUUGUUAAGCGUCUUUUUGGAGACAAAUGUCUGAGAUUGCUGGAAAAUGCUUCUUACCAUCAUAUUAAUGUGUAUUUGGGUUGCGUUUUCUUAGAGUUUUGGAUUCUUUGCAUCAUAUCAUAAAAUUGAGUUAGAUAUAACAUCUCAUUGUUAUCUGUUAAUUGUUUCACUUGGGACCAGGAGCAUGCUGGCAACUCAAUACAGCUGUAAAUGCAUAUUUCAGUGAGGGUGAUAGGUAUAUAUUUAUGAAUUAUCCUAAUAUUUUUUAUGAUAAGUAAUUCUAGGUUUAUAGCUUUAUUUGUUUGUUUGUUUUCUCGUGUUUCCUACAAAAAAAGGCCAACAUCAACCAUAGUUCCUGUAGAUGAUGCCAUGGAUAUAGAUGAUCCAAAUGAAGUAGUACCAAAUGGGCCAGUCCUUCCAUUUCUACCAUCAUCUAGAACAAACGAACAAUCGUCUCUUUUUCUGAAAUUUCCGGCGCGACGCCUGUGCGGGGGGCCUUGGCCGGAAUCUGGACUUAGUCCAGAGAGUUUUUUUUUCUUUCUUCUGUUUUUUUUUUUCAAUGUUCAAAUGAUUUUUUUUCUCAAAACACUAAUUUUUAUGCCCAGUGAAACGGCGCCGUUUUGGCUAAGCUCCAAAACACCCAAAACGACGUCGUUUCACUCGCCACCAACUUGAAUUUUAUAACUACUCCUAUGCCAACCAGCAAACCAUAACAGCGUACAUAAAAAAGAGGAUGCUGACUUACAAUUCCUUUCAUUUCACCAUAACCAAUCAAAUCCCUUGCAAUGCUGUUUGGAUCACAGCAGCUCAUCUUUCAAUCCUAGAUGGCUCCGCUAAUUUUUUGAAAGCAUACAUAAACUGUUAAAGAAAUAAAUGGAUAAAACAACUACAGGAUAGAAGGCUGAAAAAUUACAAAGUGCAAUGACCUUAUUGUUAAAAUUUCAACGCCCAUUCCUUGGAAAGAUAUCUUCACCAUUGCCCACUCAAGAGAACUCAAAUAGCAGCAAGAUCUAGUAUAAAAUGUAACUCUCAACAACACACACAAAUGUUUGUUCUAUCAAGGAGCAAUACACAGACAUAUUCACCUACCCUUGGUUCUAGCUUUGCAUAUUACAUAACACUCUUCAAAUGUCUUAUUAAAUUCUCACUUUUACGAGUGCUAUGAUAAUCAAAUAAAAUUCAAUUCAAUUUUAAGUUCCAUAUAACACUUACAUGGCUACAAAAUGUGUGUGUGUUUAAGUGUCGACAACCACAAACAAUCCAAAUUUGCAGAGAAACCACCCAUUAUAUAUAGGUUUGCCAAUGAGAUGGCAAGCAGAUUGCUAGCUAGAAAUUCAUGCAUCUUUGAAUCACCAGUUCAAUUAAUAAGCUUAAGUAGAGGAAAUAGGGACUUUACAUCCACCAAUUAAAGCAACCUAUAUGUACCCUUUUACAGUCUGCAUUGUUCCAUGUUUCAAUUCAUUACAUCAUUCCUUCAACUCUGCUAUAUAUUAUUACCGUCUCCAGAUAACCAAACCUUUUACUGCUAACUUGUAAAAAAAUUAUGAAAAUACAACAGAGAUCAUUGAGACAUUGUUGAAGUUGGCUUGCAUGCAGAGCAAGAAGCAGACCAAGCUGUCCGAGCCAUGCAAGUUGCAGCUGAAGCUUAUGCUGCUGUUUUGUUACUUUCAAAUAGAUAUUUUAUUACUUAGUUAGAUAUGAACUAAGUUGUUGAUAUGCUUGAUGUGAUUAGGUGCUGAUAGAUUGAUAAAUCAGCUUUACCAAGUGUACAAGCAAUGUUUAUCAAGUUACUAAGCCACUUAGUGGAGUUAGGCACGUGUUUAGGUAACAUUUUCUUAUUUUUGACCAGCUGAUUGCUCGGUAUAUGUAAUGGAAUUGUGCCUUCAUUUGGUCUUUACUUAAGCAUUUUUAUUCAAAAAGCUCUUGCUGUUUUUGUUUUGUUUGUUGUGCAAGAUAUCAAUGCUUUAUGCUUAAGUUUCUGUCAAAAUUUCUCAUUCUGUUUUCUUAGUUCCUACAGACAUUUUGUUCUCCUUUCUCCUUUACUGAGCAGUAGCAAAGAUUAUUGAGACUAAAUUGAAAUCCAUGAAAGAAGACAUAAACAACACCACCAUACAAAAUGUCACACUCAAACAAACCAUUACAGAUAGUACGAAAUGCAAUGAAAGACAGAGGAAUUGGUACAAUAAUAAAGACAGCCAGAUACCAAUGCAACCCUUCACCAUAGGCACAACGGUCUACAAACAAGAAAUUAUGAAAAAUACAACACUAAUUCUUGAACAUCAUUUGCAGUAAUUAGAUCCUUCUUCGUCUACUGCUGCGAUUGCCUUUCUUUGACUUUCUUCUUCGCCUCUUCUCAUGUUGGUUUUCAACCAAAUUCACCAACCAUUUUGGCUUUCCAGUUUGGAAAACAACAUAUCCCACGGACAUUCCGAACACUACUCCGCAUCCACAACCUAUCAUCACCACUUUCCAACCAAAAGCAAUGUUUGAUUUUGAGCCAUCUUUUUCAAGCACAUUUGGAGGUGGUGGGUCAAUGAUGUUGCAACCUUUCGAGACCGGAAACCCACACAGUCCCUUAUUUCCUUCAUAUGAAUCAUUUCCAAAUGUGUUGAAUUGUUUGCCUUGGGGAAUCUUACCAUGGAGUUGAUUUUCAGAAACAUUUAAGGACGAAAGAAACGGCAGAUCUGCCAAUCUAUUUGGAAUCGCCCCAGACAACCUGUUUGAAGAUAGGUCCAACCAUUCAAGACUUGUCAAAUUCCCUAUUGAUGUGGGGAUACCACCAUUAAGGUUAUUAUGAGAAAGGUUGAGCCCUUUCAGUAAGUUAAGCUUCCCAAUAACCUUUGGAAUACCCCCUUCAAACUGAUUGUUUGAUAGAUCAAUGAUCAUCCACAUGGUGAAAAUUUUCACCAAUUCCCUAUCUUGUCCUUUCAUAACAAUUCCAAUGGAAUAGGUAUAGAAGUCACCUCCAUCAUCAUUCACCCCCAUGUACGACACUGUACUACCAAUCUUCUCUAGAUUUAUGAUAGCCUUGAAGCUGUUGAUGUAUCUCACUGGUAGGGGUCCAGAAAAAUAAUUACUUGAGAGAUCAAAAAUUUGGAUUUUAGAGAAAAAAGGGAUAGACUUGGAGCUAUUGACACAUAAGGAACCAUGCAAUUGAUUUGACUUCAAUACAAGAACUUGUAGCCGUGGAAGACUUCCCAACCAAUGAGGAAAUGUAUCAUUGAUCUUGUUGUUACCAAGAUCUAGCACUUCCAGACCAUUACAAUUAAGGAUGGAUGGUGUCAAAGGCCCUUCUAACAGAUUUCCAUUUAAGUUGAAAUUACUCAAUUGGCAUCCCAUUGCAAAUGUUGGAGGAAUCGUCCCAUAGAACUUGUUCUUCUUCAGAUUCAAGAAUAGAAGGCUGUUGCUCAAAUUUCCAAAACAUUGUGGAAUUGUUCCACUCAAGUUAUUGUGGGACAAAUCAAGAAUUUCAAGAAAAGCGGCAUUGCAUAUUAAAGAAGAGACCUCUCCAUUGAAACUAUUAUUAGAGAUCAAAAAGACAUUGAUGGUCGAAGCUGGAAUCGGAAGAUUUCCACUGAUCAAAUUGGAGCUUAAGUCAAGAACGUCAAUAUUCUUCCAUGGAAAGUGCUCAACUUCUGUCAAAGAGUUGUGAGAUACGUUUAAGUAAGUCAAAGAGUCAUUCCCCACCUCUUGCAUCCACUGUGGAAUCUUGCCUUCAAUUUUGUUGUAAGAGAGGUCUAAGCUUUCCAAACUUUUAAGCCCUUUUAAAAAUUGGGGGAAUUCACUAAGAUUGCAAGAUGACAAAAACAACCUUGUAAGAUUAACAGUAGAAGUAGUAUUAGAUGUUAAGGAUAGGCUGUUAUAUGAAAGGUCAAGAGAUUCGAGAUUUGGAAGGUUUGAGAACAUGCGAAACUCUAUGACACCACUAAGAUAAUUUGAGGAUAAGCUAAGUUGGGUAAGAUUGAGAAGUUGGAAUAUUGAAGAUGGAAGAGGACCUUGGAGUUUAUUAUUCUCUAACGCUAUCCAUUCUAGUGAUUUGGAUUGGAAUUCUUUGAUAUGCCCACUGAAUUGAUUUUGAGAGAGUUUUAUAUCCUUUAAGGAGGGAGCAGUAUACAACCAUGAUGGAAGUUGUCCACUGAGUAAAUUGUUAGUUAAGUCUAAAGAUAUUAGAUUAGGAAAAGCGGUUACCUCAUCUGGAAUAGAACCUUUUAAUGUAUUUCCAGCUAUUCUCAAGUAUUCCAGCUGCGUUAGGUUUAGAAUUGACAAUGGAAUUUGUCCAUUCAAUUGGUUCUGCCACAAGCCUAAAUAAGUGAGUUGCAAGAGGUUCCCCAAUGAUCUUGGAAUUUGUCCACUCAAUUGGUUUUGCCACAAGCCUAAAUAAGUGAGUUGCAAGAGGUUCCCCAAUGAUCUUGGAAUUUGUCCACUCAACUGGUUCCCCGAUAAGUCUAAAUGAGUGAGUUGCAAGAGAUUCCCCAGUGAUUUUGGAACCGGUCCUGAUAAGUUGGAAUAGGAGAGAUCUAAAAACUUCAAGGACACAAGAUUACCCACCGAGUCUGGCAAUCCUCCAAAAAAAUUUGCGCCUGAAAUUAUCAAUUGCUCCAAAGAUGAUAAAUUUGUGAUUGAGACAGACAAUCCUUGAAAGAAAAAAUUUCCUGAUAGACCUAAGGACUUUAAGGCCUGUAGAUUAUCAACUGAAUCAAUGAAUUCUGUAGAGAAGGACGUCCAUGACAGAUCCAAAUGUUCAAGAUUGCUGCUCCGAUUCAACUUCAAAGGAUCAAGAUUGAGGUUUUGGUUGUUUCCCAAGUUGAGGAGAUUGAGGUUUGGCAAAUCAAAAAUGUUGUUUGGGAAUUUUCCUUGCAAAUCACAACCAGCAAGACUGAGAGACCUUAGAGAAGAGGAUAGAUUCAUGAAGACAUGAGCAUUAACAGAAGCCAUCUCCAUUCCAUCCAAAAACAGAUGUCUGACCUCGGUUAGGUUUUGAACAAGUCCCUCCAGAGCAUGUUUGUCUCCUACAAACCCUGUACUGGAAAGGUCGAGGUAGAGUAGGCUUGUAAACCGACCUAACUCGGAUGGAAUUUCGGAAAGAUUAAACUCAUUGUAGGCAAGGUUGAGUUUUUGAAGGUGAGGAAGAAGGAAGAGAGUGGAAUUGGAAGGGAAGUUGCCAUAUAGCCAACUGCAGCUCAAGUCAAGGGCAAUAACAUGAGCAUUUAGGUGGUCACAAGUGACCCCAUCCCAUGAGCAGCAAUCUGUACCCUCCUUCCAUGAAUUUGUCUUGGGAUAAGAUUUAUGGCCAGCAAUCUCAUUGCAAUAAGAAGAAGCGUCCUCUGUUAUGGAAAAAGAGUCCUUAAACUGGAUUAGUGAAGAGCAGGAGUGAGAUCCAGAAGAAGAAAAAGAAGCAUAAAGAUGGGGAAAGAAGAGGAAUAGGCAGAGGAAGAGAUAGGGGGCCAUGUUAUGUCUGUAGAGGAAGAUGAAGGAUAGGAAUGGUAUUUAUAGGCAACAAAUAAUACCGCAGUGUUACAGUCUUUUUUUCUUUUACAUUGAGAAGCUAUGGAGAUUAGAUUUUCAAAAUUUUUGUAUUUUUAACAAUCAUCAACAGUCACUUAGUCUUCUUUUUACCAUAUAUUUUUCAUUCUUAAAAUUGGAUGCUAUCUUUUCGCAAAAUCUUGUGGAAAUUCUUUAGCCUUCUUCUCUAUAACACUUAAAGAAUGUGUGUAUGUAUUCAUUUGCCUGUCAACUAAAGCUAAUUAAUGUGGAAAUUCUUUUCCACCCAAAAGAACAAAAUUGUGCUCUAUUCAUUAAGUUUGAGGAAGAAGAUUGCUGGAAAUUUAAUCUACCGAUUCCAUAAAAAACGUGUAUACUUAUAUAACCUCAUAAUUCAAAUCUAAAAUCUCAUUUGUUAUAAAUUCUGAUAAAUUUCUUUGGAAUUGCUAUUUUUCAUUUGUUAAUUAUUUCUCUUUUAAUCGAGUAAAAAAUUAAAACUAAAAAGACAUAAUGAUUUAUUUGGCAUUUUUAAACUUUACAAAUAAAAAAUCAUUUUAGCUUUUCAUUUUUUUAUCUCUAUUAAAUCACCCAAAAAAAAUAAUGAAAAAGACUAACAAAACUAGCACCUACGUGGCUGAUGUUGACCCUUAGUAGUUAAUGACAACAUCUACGUAGUUGUUAACAGAUACCACACUAACACUGUUUGUUGACGUGACAAUGCCACAUGAUCAAUAAUCACCGACAUGGUAGCGCCACGCUAUCGCCCAUUGGUGACAUAUUGAUGUUUGAGUUAAACUCAAAUUACUAUUUCCUUUGUUAUAAAUUAAGAGUAUAACUAAUUUUGAUAAGAAUGAUUACUUUUCAUUAACUCAGUCUAAAGGACUAUAACACGUAAAGUUUGGCCUAUUGCAGAAUUCACAUGCAAUGCGGGGCAUUUACAUUAUGCAGAAUUCGGCACAUAUAUGGGAAUUUUUGUAUUUCCACAAUCAUCAUGUUGUUCGUGAUCAACAACUACUUCCUUUUUACCAUAUAUUUUUCAUUCAUAAAAUUGAUUACUUUUUUUUUUACGAAAGAAGUAAAAUUAUUAACAUUCAUGAUAUUACAAAGCCUUCUUCCUUAUAACACGUCAAGUUUGGCCCCAAAUAAUUUUCCAGACAAAAGAAUUAAGAGGAAGGAGACUGCUACAGAUUGACUAUACUUUUAACUCCACAAACAAAGACUAAGACUAUCAAUUGUCUAUUGACUACACUUUAACUCGACAAAAACAGAUUGACUAUACUUUUAACUCCACAAACAAAGACUAAGACUAUCAAUUGUCUAUUGACUUCACUUUAACUCGACAAAAACAGACUAAUAAGACUUUGGUUGGCUGUAAUGGGCUAUUGACUAUACUUUAACUCCGCAAAAAAAGACUAAGGCUAUCAAUUGUCUAUUGACUUCACACUUGCUGUUGCUUCCUCCUAUCUCUAUCACUUGCUUCCUCCUAUCUCUAUCACCCAAACUUAAUUUACAAGCAAUGUGGAAAUUUUGGACAUUUGGGCCACAAUGUACAAUACUUCCACACCAUUUGCAGUAUUGACUACGUUUACUUGAGGGCAAACAAAGACAUGAAUGCUGGAAAUUUUAACUAGUUUGUACCGUCAAUGAAGCUACGUACCUAAAAGCAAUGUAUUAUCACCGUCUCCAGAAAUUUUGCUAAUUCAAUUUCCCAAGAAAUAUGAUUAAUUUUGGUUAAAUUGGAGUGAACAUUACUAUUUCUGUUUUAGCAAUUAAAGCAACCUAUAUGUACCCUUUUACAGUCUGCAUUGUUCCAUGUUUCCAUUCAUUACAUCAUUCCUUCAACUCUGCUAUAUAUUAUCACCGUCUCCAGAGAACCAAACCUUUUACUGCUAACUUGUAAAAAAAUUAUGAAAAUACAACAGAGAUUAUUGAGACAUUGUUGAAGUUGGCUUGCAUGCAGUAGACAUUGUUAAUCUUAUUAUUAUUAUUAUUAUUAUUAACUCAUGAACCCAUGGUUACACUUCCAACAGAGGUGAGAGAGGUUAAGAGUAGCCAUGAGCCAUCUAGUCAUGCUCCUGUUGUUGAGGAUGCCUCUGAAACUGCACAAGCUCUCAGCCCGAAUUCAAAUCUAAAAUCUCAUUUGUUAUAAAUUCUGAUAAAUUUAUUUGGGAAUUGCUAUUUUUCAUUCGUUAAUUAUUUCUCUUUUAAUCGAGUAAAAAAUUAAAACUAAAAAGACAUGAUAAUUUACUUGGCAUUUUUUAACUUUACAAACAAAUAGUCAUUUUAGCUUUCCAUUUUUUUUUUCUCUUUUAGCCUUGAAACUUAUAUGGUUCCUUAAAUCACUCCAAAAAAAAUGAUGAAAAAGACUAACAAAUUCUAGCACCUACGUGGCUGAUGUUGACCCUAGUAGUUAAUGGCAACACCUACGUAGUGGUUAACAGAUACCACACCAACACUGUUUGUUGACGUGACAAUGCCAAAUGGUCAAUAAUCGCUGACAUGGUAGCGCCACGCCAUCGCCCAUUGAUGACAUGUUAACCUUUGAGUUAAACUCAAAUUACUCUUUCCUUUGUUAUAAAUUAAGAGUAUAAAUAAUUCUGAUAAGAAUAGUUACUUUUCAUUAACUCAGUUUAAAGGACUAUAACACGUAAAGUUUGGUCUAUUGCAGAAUUCACAUGCCAUGCGGGACGUUUACAUUAUGCAGAAUUCAACACAUAUAUGGGAAUUUUUGUAUUUCCACAAUCAUCAAAUAAUUUUCAUAAAUUGAUUACUUUCUUUUUACCAUAUAAUUUUCAUUCAUAAAUUGAUUACUUUUUUUUUACAAAAGAAGUAAAAUAAUUAAUAUUCGUGAGAUUACAAAGUCUUCUUCCUUAUACACGUCAAGUUUGGUCUCAAAUAAUUUUCCACACAAAAGAAUACUUUUAACAAUCAAUUGUCUAUUGACUAUACUUUGAACUCCACAAAAAAGACUAAGACCUUCAAUUGUCUAUUGACUACACUUUAACUCGACAAAAAAAGACUAAGACUAUCAAUUGUCUAUUGACUAUCAAUUGGUUCCAUGACAAGUCUAAAUAUAUGAGCCACAAGAGGUUCCCCAAUGAUCUCGAAAUUGAUCCCCGUAAAUUGGAAUUAGAGAGAGACAAAUAUUUCAAGACAUGCAGGUUGUCAAUCAAAUCAAUCAAUUUCGUAAAGGAGGACAUCCAUGACAGAUCCAAAUGUUCAAAAUUACUGCUCUGAUUGAACUUCAGAAGAUCAAGACUAAGGAUUCGGUUGUAUCCUAAGUUGAGCAAAUUGAGGUUUGGCGAAUGAAGAAUGUUUCUUGAGAACUUUCCUUGCAAAUCACAACCACCAAGACUGAGAGACUUUAUAGAAGAGGAUAGAUUCAUGAAAACAUUAGGAUUAAUAGAAGGCAUGAUAAUUCUAACAAGAAAAAGAUGUGUCACCUCAGUUAGGUUGUGAACAAGUCCCUCCAAAGAAUUUUAUCAAGAGUUAAUUGGUGAGAAAAAACAUUAUGAGAGAGAUCAAGUGAAACCAAAUUUGACGAGUGGGAGAUUUGGGAUGGGACUUUUCCUGUAAAUAACGUUUUUUAGAUGUUAAGAUACACCAGCCUUGUAAACCGACCGAACUAGGAUGGAAUUUUGGAAAGAUUAAAAUCAUUGUAGGCAAGGUUGAGUUUUUGAAGGUGAGGAAGGAGGAAGAGAGUGGUAUUGGAAGGGAAGUUGCCAUAUAGCCAACUGCAGCUCAAGUCAAGGGCAAUAACAUGAGCAUUAAGGUGAUGACAAGUGACCCCAUACCAUGAGCAGCAAUCUGUACCCUCCUUCCAUGAAUUUGUCUUGGGAUAAGAUUUAAGGCCGUCAAAAUCAUCGCAAUACAAAGCAGCAUGGUCUGUCUGAGUGAUCGAAAAUGAAUUCUUGAACUGGAUUAGAGAAGCAGCUUCGUGGUGAGAGCAGGAGUGAGAUCCUGAAGAAGAAGAAGCAUAAAGAUGGGGAAAGAAGAGGAAUAGGCAGAGAGAGAGAUAGGGGCCAUGUUAUGUUUGUAGAGGAAGAUGAAGGAUAGGAAUGGUAUUUAUAGGCAACAAAUAGAAUCCAAUAUUAAACAAAAGCUUUGAUGAUUAAUACCACAACACCACUGUUACAGUGUUGUUUCUUUUAUGGUAUAAAGAUUGUUAUUGGAAGAGUUUGAAAUGCUGACAUUGAAAACCUAUAUUUUUCAAUACUCAUCAACAACCACUUCCUUUUUACCAUAUCUUUUUCAUUCCCAAAAUUGGAUACAUUGUUUUACCAAAAUUUUGUAUUUCAUUUGAACUCCCUAAACAACUGAGAAAAUUAACAUUGAUGAGAUUACAAAAUAGAUUGACUUAGUCUUCUUCCUUAUAAUACGUAAAAAAAAAUGUGAGUGUCUAUUCACUUAUAAUAUUUCCAUGCUAGAGGUAGUUUUUGGAAAAUCUUUAAUUAAACCUUAAUUUCAUUUUGUUAAAAUUUUUAACUGGAUUAUCGAAUUGGCUUCUGAUUGUAGGUUGAUCAAUGAUGGGCUGAUUUCUUCUUCUUCUUUUUUAAUUUUUUUAGGGUUUAUAAUAUACUGCUUAAUGUUGUUGAUUUAUUUUUCUGAUCAUCGUUUCAUUCGUUUGUUGAAGAUAACUGAAUUUUUAUUGGUUGUAAUUGGACUUGGGUUUUAGCCAAUGACUAUAAUCAAAGGGUUAAUUUAAGGUUCGAAUGAAUUAUUUGAAAAUUUUAUUAUUUUUCUUUUCAAUUAGUUGUUUUACAAGGAUUUAACUUAUAUUAGUCAAAUGAACUGGGUUUAAAAAAUGAACAAGAACGAAGAAAUUGGAUGGUUGACUGGACACUGGAAAGGGGAAAAGCUAAAAGUUGUAAAUGUUUUGAAUAUAGAGUUGUAUUCUUUUCAUGGCUUCAGAAAAAUGUAUGCAAUGUUUGGCCAGCGAUAAUGGACAAGUUUUUUUAAACCUCCAUGCCUAAGUCAUGCUUUCAUAAACAUGGGCAGCUAACACCGAGAAGUCAGUAAGCGAUUUAAAAGUGAAGCUCAUAUGCGUCAUUGCUACUCGCUUUGCAGCUAAACUCCUGAGUGACCGGGGAUGGUUGAUUUGAGGUUUAAUUCUAGCUAGUAGAUUCUUAGGUUUGUUAAGGGUCUUUUUGGAGACAAAUGUCUGAGAUUGCUGGAAAAUGCUUCUUACCAUCAUAUUAAUGUCUAUUCGGGUUGCGUUUUCUUAGAGUUUUGGAUUCUUUGCAUCUUAUCAUAAAAUUGAGUUAGAUAUAACAUGUCAUUGUUAUCUGUUAAUUGUUUCACUUGGGACCAGGAGCAUGGUGGCAACUCAAUACAGCUGUAAAUGCAUAUUUCAGCGAGGGUGAUAGGUAUAUAUUUAUGAAUUAUGCUAAUAUUUUGUUAUGAUAAGUAAUUCUAGGUUUAUAGCUUUAUUGGUUUGUUUGUUUUCUCAUGUUUCCUACAAAAAUAAGGCCAACAUCAACCAUAGUUUCUGUAGAUUAUGCCAUGGAUAUAAAUGAUCCAAAUGAAGUUGUACCAAAUGGGCCAGUCCCUUCCAUUUCUACCAUCAUCUAGAACAAACGAACAAUCGUCUCUUCAUCAUCGAAACUUCCAUAGCAGUUUCUUCGAUGGUGAUUCUGGUUCAACUUAUGAACCAAUUGAUACAUAUCCAACAGAGGUGAGAGGGGUUAAGUAUAGCCAUGAGCCAUCUAGUCAUGCUCCUGUUGUUGAGGAUGCCUCUGAAACUGCACAAGCUCUCGGCCCGAAUUCCCAUGAGACUGUUACAAUUGGUGAAGUAGGUGACGAUUCAAUUGCGCAGCCAAGGUGGCAGAAUGAUAACUGUAACAACCAGCAUGUUACACCCAGCGCUCCUGCCUUUGAUAAUUUGCUAGACUAUGGCGAUGACAUUGAAGAACAAAUGAUUCAAGCUGCCAUUGAGGCCUCUAAGCGGGAUGCUGAGGCAAGUUUUAAAAAAAGGACGCUUCCAAUUUGAUAGUGUUGUGGUGCCCUUCAUUCUUGUAGUUGCUGUAAAUGCUUGUUUUACAGAUUGCCUUUUUCAUGUUUAAAGUGUUAAAGUGUUGCAAAUUGAAGUGUUUUAAGUAAUGCAAAUUGAAUUGUUUAGUUGCUGGAAAUUGAGAUGUUUUAUGGCCGUAAUUGAGUGUAUAAAUGUUGUAAAUUGAAGUGUUUUAUUGCUGGAAAUUGGAUGCAUGGUAUAAUGACAUGAUAGAAUGUCAUUACAAUGUUGUAACUUUUUGAUGUUGUAAAAUCAUAUGGAUUAUGACAUCUAAACUAAUGAAAUCGUGUAACUUUUUAUUAAUAUAUGAAUAUUAUGUUGGGAUGUGAAAUAUAAUUCUCAAGUUAUUUAUUACUUCUAAUAUCUAAUAUUUCAUUGUAGAAUAAUUAAAAUUAUUUGUUUCACUAAUGAUAUUUUAGCACAUUCAAUAUCUAUUGCAGUUUAAAAAUAAUAAUUUAGAUUAUAUAUUAUUUUUAUAGUAUUAUAUAUUAUGAUUUUAGUAAAUUCAUAUAAUAGUAAUUAUAUUAAGAAUUUUAUUAAAUUAUAUUUAAUAAUAAUUAUGUUAAAAUAUGGUUAAAUUAUUUAUUAUCUUUAUUAAAUUAUUUUUAAUAAUAAUCUUUUUAAAAUUUAAUAACAAUAACAAAAAUCAUCUACUUAAAAAAGAUUCUGCUAAGGGUAUUCUAGUCAUUUUAGUUUUUUCCUUAUGCAAUUACAACAUCAUUCCAUUCAACCAAACACAAGAAUACCAUUACAGUUCUAUUCCGUUCCAUUCAACCAAACAAUUGAAUUACUGAUUACAGCUCUAUUCCAUUACAGUGAACCAAAUAUAUCCUUAGUAUGAAUGGCUGUCGAGGCAUGUAGAAAUUUGCACACAAAAGAACAAAAUUGUGCACUACUUAAAACUUCAAAGCAUGUGUGGCCUUAAUUUAAUUUUUCAUCUUUUUUAGCCCUUAAACCUACAUUGUUUAUCAGAUGAAAAAAUUAAUAUCUAUUAACUUUGCUAAUGUGCAAGCAUAUGCAACUUCUUUUAAAUCUAAAAAAUAUAAAAAUAAUUAAAUAUGUAUAAAUCUAAAGAUAUCUUAAACUUAAAACUAAAAUUUUUUAAACUAAUGCAAAUUUUUAUUAUUUAAAAAAUCUUAAAAUUUUCAAAUUAAAUUCCAUUUGUUUUCCACCGUUGAAGAACACCUUUAAUCACAACUUCAUGCUGUAUUGCCUAGAAAUUGUUUUGCAAAUUUAUUUUGUUUUAUUUAUUUCUAAACCCAUAUUUCUUUUCUAUAACUCCAAUUAUUAGAUUGUUUAGGGUUUUGAGUAACUUUCGAUUUUGGAAUUUUAGAUUUUUUAAAUUUAAAUAUGAAGUGCUCUUCUUCUUCUCCAAACCCACAAAUUUUUCUGCCAAAUUUCUACUCAAGGUUUUACUUUCAGCUAUAAAUAAAGCGUAUAUUAUAUUUAUAAUGAUCUAAGAAUAGUAGAGUCGAUGCCGAUCUACAUGAAAAAGGAUGAAAAAAAAAGGCAAAGAAUGAUAAUAUGAAGAGAGCAUAAAUCAAUAAAGCAAAUGAAAAACGAGCAGGAUUAAAGUAAAUGGGUAUUUAAUAUUUUUUUGUGAAAGUUCAAAGACUGAUUAUUUAUAAAAUUGGAUGUGGAAAAAUUAGUUGGAAUUUUUUUUCUUACACCAAUUGAUUUUUUAUAUAAAAUUUUUAUUUAUUUUUAAGUGUUGAAACCACUUUUUGAAAACAAAAAAAAAGUGUUACUUUUAUUUUGAAAACGGAAACGAAAAAAUGGGAGUCGCCACCGAUAUUUUUUUUGAGGUGUGAUCGGAUCACCUUAAAACAAUUUUGGUCUACGAAUAAAAAAAUGGGUCCGGGAGUCAAUUACGUAGGAGGAAGGAUUAGCACCCUCAUAACGCCCAAAAUUGAUACCGAAUUGCAUAAUUAAUGUCUUAAAGUCGAAUGUCGAAAAUUCAAAAAGAUUAAAAAUGAUCCCCUUUAAUUAAUGACAUAUUUUUAAACAAUAUUUGUAUAAAUUUGAUCAUAUGUAGAAAGGUCUUCUCAUCCUGAGUCAACAAAAUGUCGUAUCCCAUAAGUUAGGAUGCGACAUUUAGAUUUCCGAGCAUAAUCUAGCCUUUAAAACCCUUUAUUGAAACUUUAUGUAUUUGAAAACUAAAAAUGUUUGACCAUCUUGGUUCAAUGAGGAAAUCGAAAACCCGUAAGUUAGGACAAAUUUCCUCAAAGUUCCAAAGACGAUAUAUACGUUUGCCUUUAUUUAAAAAAAAAAGAUACUCGGUUACUUAAAUUCAACGAGGAAAAUUGGAGCCUAAUAAGUUAGGGCACAAUCUUCUCGAAAAUAUUGGAUACCGGGUAUUACGUUAUUUUGAAAACUUUGAAUAAAAUGAUUUCAAUACUUUGACUAAACGCAACAUUUUAAAUGAAUAAAAUGCGAUGGAACAAUAACGUAUAACGCGAAGUGAUAAUUCGUAAACUAAAAUAUACGCUAAUGAUCGACAAAGAAUCAAUGAAUACGAGUAAGCAAUACAAUACAUCAUAUAAGAGCAACAAUCUCAUAUCCCACAUUAUGCAAAUACUAACAUCCAUUUUAGCAAGCUAAAUGAAUUAAAAGUUAAUUAAAGAACAGCAAGCAAAUUAAUGUAAAUCUAAUAUAACAAGCUUUAAAAUAAAAUAAAAAUAAAAAUCAUGAAAAAGAGGAAAAUUCAAACACUAAAUUGUAUGUAUAAAAUAUUUGGCACAAAUAAUAUAUAGGAAAACUUGCAAUAAAAAAAUGAAGAAAAUAAAGAAUAAAUAAGAUGCAAAAUAAUACAUGUUCAUCUAAAUAAGUAGUACAUAUAAAAUAAAAUUUUAAUAUAAAUGUUGAAAUAAACAAAGCGUGUAAUUGAACAUCAUUUCCACUAACUAGAUCCUUCUUCGUCAACUGCUGCGAUUGCCUUUCUUUGACUUUCUUUUUCGCCUCUUCUCAUGUUGGUUUUCAACCAAAUUCACCAACCAUUUCGGUUUUCCAGUUUGGAAAACAACAUAUCCCACCAACAUUCCGAACACUACUCCGCAUCCAUAACCUAUCAACACCACUUUCCAACCAAAAGUAAUGUUUGAUUUUGAGCCAUCUUUUUCAAGCACAUCUGGAGGUGUUGGCGCAAUGAUGUUGCAACCUUUCGAGACCGGAAACCCACAUAUGAAUCAUUUCCAAAUGUGUUGAAUUGUUUGCCUUGAGGAAUCUGACCAUGGAGUUGAUUUUCAGAAACAUUUAAGGACAAAAGAAAUGGCAGAUCUACCAAUCUAUUUGGAAUGGUUCCAGACAACCUGUUUGAAGAUAGUGUUGGCACAUAAUUAAAUUAACCUUGCACAAAUAAAUUAUGAAAAGUUAGAAGAGUGAAGAGACUUGAAUAUGAAAAGUGAAAAAACUUGAAUAUGAAUAGUGAAGAGACUUGAAGAUGAAAAGUUAAGAGGCUUGAAUAUGAAAAGAUACACACAUGCAUGAAUAGUCACAACUCCUAGCAUAUAGUGAUAUAGAUGAAUAGUCACUUACAACUCCUAUAUAAAGAGUUGUAUGUGAUGAAGAAUUAUUAACUUUGUGUGCUUGAAAUAAAAGAUUAUUUGAAAGAAUUUUUUCAUACAAAAUUUAUUUCUCUUCUCCAUUAUAUUCUUUAUCAUUUUCUUUGUUUUAUUUCUCCAAAUAUUAAUCAUUCAACUACAAAUUGGUAUCAAAGCCUUGUUCAAUCGAAAUGAACAAUUCUAUUCCUCUUUCUUCCGUUCCCCAAUUAACCAAAGAAAAUUAUGGCAAAUGGAGUAUCCAAAUGAAGGCUCUUCUUGGAUCUCUAGAAGUUUGGGAGAUUGUUGAAAAAGGUUAUAAUGAAGUUGAGGGUGAAGAGGAGGAAGGAUUAACACAAGUUCAAAAAGAGAGUCUAAGAAAAUCAAGGAAGAAAAAUCAGCAAGCCUUAUUUUGGAUAUAUCAAGGAGUUCAAUCAUAUGAAGCGGCUUGGGAAAAAAUAGCUUGUGCCACCACGGCAAAACAAGCAUGGGAAUUUUUACAAAAUUCAUUCAAAGGAGAUGAAAAGGUGAAAAGAGUUCGGUUGCAAACUCUUUGAGGAGAGUUUGAAAGAUUGCAAAAAAUAGAGUCAGAAUCAGUUUCUGAUUACUGUUCACGGGUUUUGUCCAUAGUCAAUCAAUUAAAAAGAAAUGGUGAAACUAUGGAUGAUAUUCGUGGUGUUGAGAAAAUCCUCCGUUCUUUAGAUUCCAAAUUUGACUACAUUGUGGUUGCCAUAGAAGAAUCAAAGGACUUGAGUACCAUGACUAUUGAUGAACUCACAGGUUCGUUGCAAGCCCAUGAAGAAAGAUUAAACAAGAAGAAAAAGGAAGUAGAUCUAGAUCAAGCACUUCAGUCAAAGUUGUCUCUAAAUGAGAAUAAGGGAGAUUUUAAAAAUCAAAGAGGGAGAGAUCGUGGUCGUGGAAGAGGAAGAAAUUUUAGAGGAAGAGGCUCAAAUGCUCGUGAAAGAGGUGAAGAUGUAAGCAUGGAGAAUGGAUGGAAAGAAGCCAACCAAAGUCAAAAUUUUAGAGGAUCACAAAGAGGACGUGGACGUAGAAAUCAAAGAGGAAGAGGUCGUGGCUAUUUUGAAUGUUAUAAUUGUCGCAAACCUGGUCAUUUGGCAAGUGAAUGCUGGUACAAAGAAGAAGAGAAAAAUGAAGCUAAUAUAGUACAAAAUAAUCAAGAGCAAAAGCAAGAAACUUUGUUGCUCGUAUCUCAUGGUGGAGAGAUUGAUGAUGUCUGGUACAUAGACAGUGGUGCUAGCAAGCAUAUGACAGGUAACAAAAAUUUAUUUUCGAAGUUCUUUGAAUCUGAUUGUGGAGAAGUAAAAGUAGGAGAUGGCAAAGCUUACAAAGUUAGCGGUGUUGGUGAGUUGGAGUUCAAAACAAAGCAAGGAAGGGUAGAGAAAAUGUCUGAAGUUUAUUUUGUUCCUGGUCUUAAAAAUAAUCUGCUUAGCGUUGGGCAUCUCUUGAAGAAGGGGUAUGAUAUUCAUUUCCGAGACAUGGCUUGCUAUUUAUCAAAGAAAAAUCAGGUUGUUGCUAGAGUUGGAGUGGCAUCAAAUAAUCUUUUCUCUCUUACCCUUCAAAAUCAGAAUAUGUCUUGUUUUAUUGGUGCUCAUAAAGGAAUUUCAAAGUUAUGGCAUGAUAGAUAUGGACAUUUAAACUAUGGAAAUUUGGAGAUGCUUUCAAGGAAGAUGAUGGUUAGAGGUUUACCAAAAAUCGAUCGGCUUGAUGAUGUUUGUGAAGCAUGUCAACUUGGAAAGCAACAUAAAAUUGCUUUUCCUUCUCAAUCCUCGUGGAAAGCAAGAAGACCAUUGCAACUUAUUCACUCAAAUCUUUGUGGUCCAAUGACAGUUUCAUCUUUAGGAGGUAAUCGUUACUUUAUCUCUUUCAUUGAUGAUUACUCAAGAAAGUUAUGGGUGUAUUGUGUCAAAGAAAAAUCAGAGGCUUUUCAGAGAUUCAAAGAUUUCAAGGCAGAAGUGGAGAACUUUACUGGGUUGAAAAUUAACACCUUGCGUACAGAUCGUGGAGGUGAAUAUUUUUCAAAAGAAUUUGAGAAAUAUUGCCGAGAUAGUGGCAUCCGGCAUGAAAUGACAGUCCGCCAUACACCUCAGCAAAAUGGUGUGUGUGAAAGAAAGAACAGAACAAUUAUGGAAAUGGCUAGAUGUCUUCUUAAUAAGAAGAGGUUAUCAAGAAGAUUUUGGGCUGAAGUUGUUUCCUGUGCAGUUUAUCUUAUAAACAGAUCACCGACAAGAAGCUUGGAGAAUUACACACCACAUGAGGCGUGGUAUGGUAUAAAGCCUAGUGUUAGUCAUCUUAGAGUAUUUGGGAGUGUUGCCUACUCUCUAUUCCAGAUGCAAUGAGAAGCAAGUUGGAUGACAAGUCAGAGAAAUGCAUUUUUAUUGGCUAUAGUGAAAGAAGUAAGGCAUACAAGUUGUAUAAUCCGGUGACAAAGAAGAUUGUGAUAAGCCGAGAUGUUCGGUUUGAUGAAAAUUCCAUGUUUGAAGAUAUGGAAGUUGAAAAGGAAAAUUUGCCAAUUUUUCCUUUUGAACUUGAAGAAGAAGAAGAGGCAGUAAUUGAGAAUGCUGAAGAUGAUGCUCAAGUAGAAAAUCCUCCUGCUUCCCCAUGUUCUUCAUCAAAUUCUUCUUCAUCCAGCCCGAUCCGAAAAACGAGAAGCAUCCAAGAGUUAUAUGAUGUAACGGAUGAAGUUGUGCAAAAUGAUGCUGUAUUCUUUGCCUUCUUUGCAGGAGAAGAUCCAAUUUCUUUUGAUGAUGCAUAUCAAGAAGAAAUAUGGAGGAAAGCCAUGAAAUAAGAGAUUUUCUCAAUUGAAAACAAUGAUACAUGGGAACUCACAGAUUUACCGCCGCACAAGAAUUCAAUUGGAGUCAAAUGGGUGUACAAGACAAAGAUGAAUCCGAAUGGCUCUAUCAACAAGUACAAGGCAAGACUGGUUGCAAAAGGAUACAAGCAAAAGGAAGGAGAAGAUUUUACAGAGGUAUUUGCUCCAGUUUCAAGACUUGAGACAGUUCGGUUACUUAUUUCUCUUGCUGCCCAAAAUAAUUGGAAAAUAUUCCAAAUGGACGUAAAAUCUGCGUUUUUGAAUGGUGUUCUCAAAGAAGAAGUCUAUGUUGAUCAACCACCAGGGUUUGUCAAAAAAGGAGAAGAAGAAAAAGUUUACAAGUUGAAGAAAGCUUUGUACGGGUUGAAGCAAUCACCCAGAGCAUGGUACAGCCGCAUCGAUUCUUAUUUUCAGAAGUGUGGAUUCCAGAAAUCUCCAUAUGAGCAUACUCUCUACAUCAAAGGCAAUUAUCAAGGAAGAUUCAUGGUUGUAAGUCUCUACGUUGAUGAUCUUAUUUUCACAGGAAAUGAUGUGAAGAUGUUGAAAGAAUUUCAGCACUCAAUGAUGGCAGAAUUUAAGAUGACAGAUUUGGGAGAACUUCAUCAUUUUCUUGGCAUUGAAGUUCAUCAAUCCGAGAAAGGAAUUUUUAUUUCACAAGAGAGCUACGCAAAGGAAGUUCUAAAAAAAUUCAUGAUGGAAAAUGCGAAUCCAGUCUCUACUCCAUGCAUUACAGGUCUGAAGUUAUCUAAAGAGGGUGAAGGAAAGCUUGUCAAUUCCACCAUAUUCAGAAGUUUGGUUGGGAAGUUGAUGUAUCUGACUUCGACAAGGCCUGAUAUCGUGUAUGUUGUUAGCUUGGUAAGUAGAUUCAUGGAGAAACCUUACUCCAAUCACUGGGAGGCUGCCAAGAGAAUAUUGAGAUAUGUGAAGGGAACCAUUGAUUAUGGAAUUUUCUAUAAAUCUAAUACAUUAGUUGAUCUCAUUGGUUAUACGGAUAGUGAUUUAGCAGGAAGCAUUGAUGAUAGCAGAAGCACUUCUGGUUAUGUUUUUCACCUUGGUAGUGGUGCAGUUUCAUGGAGUUCAAAGAAACAAUCAAUUGUGGCGCUUUCGACUAUAGAAGCUGAAUAUAUCGCUGCAUCUUAUGCAGGAUGUCAAUUGAUUUGGUUACGUGGAAUUUUGGAAAGUCUUAAGCAGAAGCAAAGCAAGUCAACAAUUUUGUUUUGUGACAAUAGUUCUACUAUUUCGGUCACAAAAGAUCCAAUUCUUCAUAGAAGGACAAAACACAUUCGCAUUCGAUAUCACUUCUUGAGAGAACUAGUGAAUAAUGGUGAUGUUCAAGUUGAAUAUUGCAAGACGGAAGAUCAGAUGGCUGAUAUCUUCACAAAGCCUCUAAGUGGACAAGUCUUCAAGAAAAAUGUUGAAAGGUUGGGAGUUCAAAGCAAGUUUAAUUUAAGGGAGGCAUUGUUGGCACAUAAUUAAAUUAACCUUGCACAAAUAAAUUAUGAAAAGUUAGAAGAGUGAAGAGACUUGAAUAUGAAAAGUGAAAAAACUUGAAUAUGAAUAGUGAAGAGACUUGAAGAUGAAAAGUUAAGAGGCUUGAAUAUGAAAAGAUACACACAUGCAUGAAUAGUCACAACUCCUAGCAUAUAGUGAUAUAGAUGAAUAGUCACUUACAACUCUUAUAUAAAGAGUUAUAUGUGAUGAAGAAUUAUUAACUUUGUGUGCUUGAAAUAAAAGAUUAUUUGAAAGAAUUUUUUCAUACAAAAUUUAUUUCUCUUCUCCAUUAUAUUCUUUAUCAUUUUCUUUGUUUUAUUUCUCCAAAUAUUAAUCAUUCAACUACAGAUAGGUCCAACCAUUCAAGACUUGUCAAAUCCCCUACUGAGGUAGGGAUACCACUAUUAAGGUUAUUAUGAGAAAGGUUGAGCCCUUUCAGUAAGUUAAGCUUCCCAAUAACCUUUGGAAUCUCCCCUUCAAACUGAUUGCUUGAUAGAUCAAUGAUCACCCACAUAGUGAAAAUUUUCACCAAUUCCACGUCUUGUCCUUUCAUAACAAUUCCAAUGGAAUAGGCAUAGAAGUCAUCUCCAUCAUUCACCCCCAUGUACGACACUGUACUACUAACCUUCUCUAGAUUUAUGAUAGCCUUGAAGCUGUUGAUGUAUCUCACUAGUAGGGGUCCAGAAAAAUAAUUACUUGAGAGGUCAAAAAUUUGGAUUUUAGAGAAAAAAGGGCUAGACUUGGAGUUAUUGACACACAGGGAACCAUGCAUUUGAUUUGACUUUAGUACAAGAACUUGUAGCUGUGGAAGACUUCCCAACCAAUGAGGAAAUGUAUCAUUGAUCUUGUUGUUACCAAGAUCUAGUACUUCCAGACCUCUACAAUUAAGGAUGGAUGGUGUCAAAGGCCCUCCUAACAGAUUUCCAUUUAAAUUGAAAUUACUCAAUUGGCAUCCCAUUGCAAAUGUUGGAGGAAUCGUCCCAUAGAACUUGUUCUUCUUCAGAUUCAAGAAUUGAAGGCUGUUGCUCAAAUUUCCAAAACACUGCGGAAUUGUUCCACUCAAGUAAUUGUGGGACAAAUCAAGAAUUUGAAGAUAAGUGGCAUUGCAUAUUAAUGAAGAGACCUCUCCAUUGAAACAAUUAUUUGAGAUCAAAAAGACAGUGAUGGUCGAAGCUGGAAUCGGAAGAUUUCCACUGAUCAAAUUGGAGCUUAAGUCAAGAACAUCAAUAUUCUUCCAUGGAAAGUGCUCAGCUUCUGUCAAAGAGUUGUGAAAUACAUUUAAGUAAGUCAAAGAGCCAUUCCCCACCUCUUGCAUCCACUAUGGAAUCUUGCCUUUAAUUUUGUUGCAAGAGAGGUCUAAGCUUUCCAAACUUUUAAGCCCUUUUAAAAAUUGGGGGAAUUCACUAAGAUUGCAAGAUGACAAAAAUAACCAUUCAAGAUUUCCACUGAUCAAAUUGGAGCUUAAGUCAAGAACAUCAAUAUUAUGACGAUAUAUAAGUUUCCCUUUAUUUUUUAAAAAAAAACCUCGUCUCGAGAUAUCGAAAGGUCAUAUCCAAUGAGUUAGGACACAACGUUUUGAAUUCCCGAGAUAAGCUUUAAUUUGAAAUUUUUAUAUUUUAAUUAAAAAAUGAUACUCAGUUACUUAAAUUCAACGAGGAAAAUUGGAGCCCAGUAAGUUAGGGCACAUUCUUCUCGAAAAUCUUGGAUACCGGGUAUUACGUUAUUUUGAAAACCUUUGAAUAAAACGAUUUCUAUACUUUGAUUAAAUGCAACCUUUUAAACGAAUAAAAUGCGAUGGAACAAUAACAUACAACCCGAAGUGAUAAUUCGUAAACUAAAAUAUAUGCUAAUGAUUGACAAGGAAUCAAUGAAUACGAGUAAGCAAUACAAUACAUCAUAUAAGAGCAACAAUCUCAUAUCCCACAUUAUGCAAAUACUAACGUCCAUAUUAGCAAGCUAAAUGAAUUAAAAGUUAAUUAAAGAACAGCAAGCAAAUUAAUGUAAAUCUAAUAUAACAAGCUUUAAAAUAAAAUAAAAAUAAAAAUCAUGAAAGAGAGGAAAGUGCUAAGGGAUAAGAUUGAAGGCCCGUAAUAUGAUCGCAAGACAAAGAAGCACGCUCUGUUAUGGAAAAAGAGUUCUUGAACUGGAUUAAUGAAGAGCAGGAGUGAGAUCCUGAAGAAGAAAAAGAAGCAUAAAGAUGGGGAAAAAAGAGGAAUAGGGAGAGAAAGAGAUAGGAGGCCAUGUUAUGUUUGUAGAGGAAGAAGGAUAGGAAUGGUAUUUAUAGGCAACAAAUAAUACCACAACAUUGGUGUUACAGUCUUUUUUUUCUUUUACAUUGAAAUGCUACAGAUAUUAGAUUUUCAAAAUAUUUGUAUUUUUCACAAUCAUCAACACUUAGUCGUCAUUUUACCAUAUAUUUUUCAUUCUUUUUUUUUUUAACAAAAUCUUGUAUAUCAUUUGGACUCGCUAAACAACUAAAAAAAUAAAGAUUGAUGAGAUUACAAAGUAGAUUGACUUAGUCUUCUUCCCUAUAACAUGUAAAGAAUGUAUGUGUCUAUUCAAUUGCCUGUCAACCAAAGCUUAUUAAUGUGGAAAUUCUUUUCCACACAAAAGAACAAAAUUGUGCUCUAUUCAGCUACGUUUGAGGAAGGAGACGGCUGGAAAUUUAAUCCACCGAUUCCAUAAAAACGUGUAUAUUUAUUUAUAAAUAUAUAUAUAACCUCAUGAUUCAAAUCUAAAAUCUCAUUUGUUAUAAAUUCUUAUAAAUUUAUUUGGGAAUAGUUAUUUUUCAUUCGUUAAUUAUUUCUCUUUUAGCCGUGAAACUUAUAUGGUUCGUUAAAUCGCCCCAAAAAAUGAUAAAAAAGAUUAACAAAACUAGCCCCUACGUGGCUGAUGUUGACCCUUAGUAGUUAAUGGCAACUCCUAUGUAAUUGUUAACAGAUACCACAGCAACAAUGUUUGUUGACGUGACAAUGCCACAUGACCAAUAAUCGUUGUCAUGGUAGUGCCACGCCGUCACCCAUUGAUGACAUAUUAACCUUCGAGUUAAACUCAAAUUGCUCUUUCCUUUGUUAUAAAUUAAGAGUAUAACUAAUUUUGAUAAGAAUAGUUACUUUUCAUUAACUCAGUUUAAAGGACUAUAACACGUAAAGUUUGGUCUAUUGCAGAAUUCACAUGCAAUGCGGGAUAUUUACAUUUUGAAGAAUUCAACACAUAUAUGGGAAUUUUUGUAUUUCCACAAUCAUAAUUUUGUUAGUGAUCAACAACUACUUCCUCCUUACCAUAUAUUUUUCAUUCAUAAAAUUGAUUACUUUUUUUAUCAAAGAAGUAAAAUAAUUAACAUUCUUAAGAUUACAAAGUCUUCUUCCUUAUAACACGUAAAGUUUAGUUCCAAAUAAUUUUCCACAAAAAAAAGACCAUCAAUUGUCGAUUGACUAUACUUUAACUCCAAAAAAAAGACUAAGACUAUCAAUUGUCUAUUGACUACACUUUAACUCGACAAAAAAGGACUAAGACUAAGACUUUCAAUUGUCUAUUGACUUCACACUUGCGGUUGCUUCCUCCUAUCUCUCUCACCCAAACUUAAUUUAGAAGCAAUGGGGAAAUUUUGGACAUUUGGGCCACAAUGAACAAUACUUCCACACCAUUUGCAGUAUUGACUACGUUUACUUGAGGGAAAACAAAGACAUGAAUGCUGGAAAUUUUAACUAGUUUGUACCGUCAAUGAAGCUACGUACCUAAAAGCCUUUUAGGAUAUCAAUUCCUGUAAUUGGAUUAAUCUCAUCGUUGCUGCAAUCUUUUGACAGUGUAAUCGAAUCUUAAAUAUGUUACUCUGCAAUGCUGUUGUAAAAAUUACUCUUAAAAUUGUCGAUAGAUAUAUAGGUUUGGCACAAAAUUAAGAAUACACAAAGGCAGGUUGAAUUAUUCCAUGUUUGAACAUAAAUUCAUAUGGCAAAAGGGCCCAAACCAUACCUUAUGUUCAUGAAUUCUCAUCAUCACAUGUUUAUAAAUGCAUCUCAAAACUUGAAUAAUUGAAUCUUUUGUAAUUCUACAUGUAUUUUUUUUUAUGGUGAGCAGUAUAAUGUUUACUAAAAAUUGAAAUUCAAGAAAGAAGACAUACAUAGUUGCACCAUACAAGUUGUUACACUCGAACUAAACCCUUACAAAUAGUACGAGAUGCAAUGAAAUACAGAGGAAUUGGUACAAUCAUAAAGACAGACACAUACCAAUGCAACUUUUCACCAUAGGAAAAACUUUCUGACAGACUACUAAACAAGAAAUUAUGAAGACACAGCAGAAAUGCUUUGACUUCUUUUGCACCAACUAGAUCCUUCUUCAUCCAUUGAUGCGAUUGCUAUAUUUUGGCUUUCUUCUUCGCCUCUUCUCAUGUUGGUUUUCAACCAAAUUCACAAACCUUUUCACCUUACCGGUUUGGAAAACAACAUAUCCCAUGGCCAUUCCAAACACUACCCCGCAUCCACAACCUAUCAACACCACUAUCCAACCAAAAGCAAUGUUUGCUUUUGAGCCAUCCUUUUCCAGCACAUUUGGAGGUGGUGUCUCAUUGAUGCUGCAACCUUUGGAGACUGGGAAUCCACAUAGUCUCUGUUUCCUUCAUAUGAAUUGUUUCGAAAUGUAUUGACAAUCUGACCAUGGAGUUGAUUUUCAGAAACGUUUAAGAAGAAAAGAAAUGCCGGAUCUGCCAAUAUCUCUGGAAUUAACUCAGUUCAAAUGACCAUAUAACUCGUAAAGUUUGGUCGAAGACUGGCAGCGUCUAUUGACUUCAACUCUUGCUAUUACCUCAAGAAGAAAGACUGCUACAAUUCUAUCUUCUUUAAACCAGCUAUUUAAAAGCAAUAAGGACAUUAAAUCCACCAAUUUAUCUUUGAAGUCAUUCGUCAUGCAGCUCUGCUAUGUACGAUUAUUGGCAAAAAUCUUGAAAGGAGACAACCUCAAAUUUGAAGACAAGAAAUGAGCAAGAACAUGCACCAACGAAGAAUCGAUUAUUGUUUUGUAUUUGGUAAAUACAAUUUGAGUUAAAUAAUCAAGAAUGAUAGUGAAUAAAUAAGGAAAAACAAUGUAGAUUCAGAACCACAAUAAAUCAUAUUAAGCUCAUGAGUUUAUAAUAUAUAUCUCUGCAGCUUGAUUGCCUUGUUAGCUAUAAACAUAACCUGUUAAUUCCAUCAUUAAUACCAUUAGAUAUAUUUUGAUGGGGGAGAUUUUUUAGUAGGAAAACAGUUGAAGUCAUUCAAGAAGACAUAAACAGCUGCAACUACGUAAGAGUUUAACUUUGAGAAUAGAUCCUUACACGUUAUUGAAAUGCCAUACUAAAGAUAAAGACAUAUAGCUAAACGUUAGACACACCAUAAAAAUAUAUAUAGGUAAAGUGAUAGGGUGUGAGUAAGGAGGCCAUGCUAUGUUUUCAAAUAAGAUUAUCAUGGUAUGAAUUAUGAGAACCCUAUUUAUAGGAAGAACAAAACCGAUAUGAAACUAAGAAUAUAGUCCAUUGAUAAUGAAGAAUCUAAGAAAUUUAAUGGAAAUUGUGGAUAAGCAUCGUGUUUUUAUCUCUGAUGGAGAAAAGCUAAGAGUGUGAGGAAGACCAACUGUCAAUGUCACCCAAACCGAAUCUACAAGUCACCACAAUGUACAGUAAUUCAAAGCAGGAAAAGUUCAUAGUUUCAGAGUAAAUAACACUUCAAUGAUUGUAUUAUAGAAAACAUGUGUAUCCUAUAUAUGUUGAACAAUAUUAUCUAACAAACAUAUUUUCCAAAAGACUAGAAAAUUUGUGAUUAAAUGCUAAAGUUACAUAUUUUAUGUAAUUAAAUUGGUUAAUUUAUGAGAGUGCACCACUAAUUUUUCCAUGUUUUUGUUGAAUUUUGUGCAGGGGUGCAAUUUGGGGCUAAAUAGAAGAAAAAGGAAACAAUUGGGCUAGAUUGAAGAGAGAAGCAAAGAAGGAGGGCCAAAACAGAAUUUUUCCAGAUUAAUUAGCUGAAAUUUUUGUUGACUUAGUGGGAGAUUAUUUUGGGAUUUUUUUUUAUAUCAUGGAAUAUUUUUCCUUAAUUUUCUAUACUAGUUGGCUUUUAAUUUAGCAAGGCCACUAGUAUAAAUAGAGGCUACAUUGUUCAUUUUAAUCAUCAAGUCUUGAAUCAAUUCAUAAAUCAAGCUUUCAUCUUUCAAUACAUUCUCUCUUUUCUACUCACAAAUUUAUUUGUUGUUUUUAGUUUCAUUUACUUUCAAUCCAUUAAUUUCCAGCUUGUUACCACUUAAACCAUUUUCAAUUUCUUUUUCAAACUUUCUUUCCAUCUCCAGUAGCUAAUUCACUUUAUUACACCCCCAAAAUUCCAGCCCCCCAAACUAAAUCACGCCACCCAUUCCUUUCACCCAUUUUACCUUAUUUAAUUUAUCCAAUACCAACAUGCCCCAAACCUUAGCCAACUAAAUUCAUUUCCAGCUUUAGGUCGGAAUUAGCCUCGUCAAAACCCGUGAGUUACGAACCCGAGCAAAUUAACUCCUAAAUUUUAGUACUUAUUAUUUCUCCGGAUUAAGAGUAUGAUUUUGUCAACUCACAAAGUCAGAUCAACAUUAAGUUAAAAAAGACGUCGUUUGAUUUAGUGUGGUUAGACGUACAGUUGGAAUUCCAAAAAGAUCGAUUCUAAUCGGUUUUCUGUGAACACAUUGGCGUGCCAAUUGGAGAUUGCUGUUUGGUUCCGUCAAGGGAAGUAGUAACCCGAUUUAAAUGUCCCACGCGGUUGAGGGCAUUGGUUCGAGCUAGGGUUUUCUAGAACGCAAAGCUGCCGGAGUUCUAAAUCACGAACAUUUCGUGGUUGUUCGAUCAGUAAGGGUUAGUUAUUGGACGUUCCAUAACUAAUUUACACAAGGAAGAGUUAGUGUCUGAGGCGUCCUUGGUAGCUAUAACUAGCUUAUUGGAAAAGAGGAGUUCAUCUAAUUUUGAGAAUCGGUUCAAAGACGAGGAAAAUUCGUGCCUAAAGCUGAGCUUAUUCUAAUUAAAUUUUCUUCAUAUUUAUUUAACUAUUUUAAUUAUUCUGUUUUCAACUUUAUCUUUUCACGCAUUUUAUUUAUUUAUUUCAGGUCUUCAAAUUUUAUCCCCCCGAACUUCUUGGGCACGACAACUGCCCCAACAUAAAUCUGGUCAAAAUAGAAACAAUUUGCAGUAAACCCAGUCUCUGAGGGAUCGACCCUACUCCCUAUACUGUUUAAAUCGCAAAUUAGGCGUAGGUUUAUAUUGGUGGAUUCGACACCCAUCAAUUUGUAUGUCAUUUUCUAUUACUUGCAAGAAAACUACAGGGGAAAUUGCAUUUCUAAUUCAUCCAUAGGCUUUAAAUUCAAACAAGAAAAAGGAAAAAGAAUAUAUAUAUAUCAACAGGAAACUUCAAGGAGAGAAAUUUUGUUACAUCAAUUUUCCAGUCAUAUUUAAUCUUUACCCAAAGUUGAUUCUAGAUUAAAUUUGGAAAAAAUUAAAAAAGAGGACAUGUAUUUUUUUUUAUUUUUGAAAAGUAAAGGAUUAUAUCUCAGCCAAAUAAAAAAGUCACAAUGCAAAGCCAAGAGCCAAAGCCAAGCCAAGCACACACUCAACUAGCAGACAUAACUCAUACAGGACCUAGAUGUAUUAUUGAACUCUUAUAUAAAAGACAACUGAAGAUGCAAAGCUUAAUUGUUAAGCUUUUCUGAUGCUUGAUAAGCAUAGUUUUAGUUCAGUUCCGAAAUCUAAACUGCUUUGCUAUGGGAUUAUUUUUAUAAGUACAUUGAGAUCAAUGCAUGCUAUUGCGAUUUAUUAUCUUUGAUGCCAAGGAAAUGACAGAAUUCAAAGACCAAAAGGUUCGAUUACAUACUAGAUCAUGGAUGUAAGCCAAUCUACAACCUCUCUCCUCGACCUCCAUGUGAAACCAGCAUGAUUUGAAUUCUCAGCCGCAUAUACCCUCACAAACUCCUCAGCAACAACAUAAAACAUAUACCUAACACUCCUUUGAGAACCGAUAACUGCACAGACAGAUUCACUAAUGGAAGCCUUCAAGAAAUAUUGAACCACACAAUUACCACACUUCUGUGAAAUAAACUUGUUGGUGCAAAGAGACAACAAUAGACUGUUUUCAAUCUUGCUUGUAUAGCAAGCCUCGAGCCUUGCUGAAGAAACAAACUCAAAAGCAAGAACAGAAACACAUGCGAAUGAAAAACAAAAGAAAUUGAGAGAGAGAGUAUUUUGAAUGAAAAGAGCUGAUAUUUCAUUAACAAAUCCAGAAGGCAUAAUGCCAUUACAUAUAAUAGAUAACAACAACAAAAUGAACAAGUCUUUACCUAAUGACAUACCUAACACCACUAAAUUUACAUUGGAAAUUGUUAAUCAGCUUGCUUAAGUUUCUUUGCUGAUUUUUUCAGUCAAUCAAUCAACAAAAAACAUCAUAAGGUUUACCAACUUAGUUCAACAUGAACUAGAUUACAAAAUAAUAAUUAAAAAUACAAUCAAAACAUAACAAGUAGUUAGGCAACUUUAAGCUCCAGUUUCUGCACUUCAUAGCUCGACUGCUUGCUGCCACUUCUCCUUGCAUGGCCACCUUUGCAUGUCUUGCAUGGGAACUAAAUUCAACACUCCUCCUUAGUUUCCAUGCUAGUGACACCUAAUUGCCUUCUUAAUUUAACAAAUUUAGACACAUUGAGUGCCUUUGUAAAGAUAUCAGCAAUUUGCUCUUCUGAAUUGCAAUGAACCAGCUCGAUUUCAUGAGCUUGCUCCAUCUCCCUUAUGACAUGUAGCUUGAUGUUGAAGUACUUUGCUCUACCAUGAAAGAUAGGAUUCUUUGCAAUUGCAACAGCAGAUUUGUUGUCACAGUAAAUCUCUGUUGCCUUUCCUUGAUUUUGAUUUAAAUCAGCUAGGAUUUUUCUAAGCCAUAUGGCUUGAUUUACAGCAGAUGCAGCAGCAACAUAUUCAGCUUCUGCUGUUGACUGUGCUACCAGACUUUGCUUUUUAGAACUCCAGCAAAACAUGCCUGAGCCAAGACUAAAGGCAUAUCCAGAUGUGCUUCUCAUGUCAUCACAAGAUCCAGCCCAGUCACUAUCAACAUAGCCUAUUAGCUUCAUGUUUAUAGCCCUUUUGAACAAUACACCAUGAUCAAUGGUGCCUUUGAUGUAUCUAAGCACUCUUUUAGCUGCUUGAAAGUGCUGAUCAUUGCAGCAAUUCAUGUAUCUGGAUAGCACACUAACAGCAAACAUGAUAUCGGGUCUUGUUGCAGUCAAAUACAACAGACUACCAAUGAGACUUUUGUACAUAGUCUCGCAAAUUGGUUCACCACUCCCUUGCCUCGAAAGCUUCACUCCAACAGCCAUUGGUGUGCUUGUUGGCUUGCAGUUCUUCAUAGAGAACUUAUCCAGGAUCUUCAUAGUAAAAGAACUCUGACUAAGAAAGAUUCCCUUUGCUGUUUGCUUCACUUCCAUUCCAAGGAAGUAGUUCAUUCUGCCUAAAUCAGACAUUUCAAACAUUUCCAUCAUUUUUCUUUUGAAAUCUUCCAGCAUUCUUCUAUCUCCUCCAGUCACCAAUAAAUCAUCAACAUAGAGUGACAGGAUAAGCUGAGUUUCAGCUUGGUUCUUCUUCACAUACAGUGUUGGUUCACUGAGACUUCUCUCGAAUUCCAAACUGAGCAAGUAAGAAUCAAUUCGAGCAUACCAGGCUCAAGGAGCCUGUUUUAGGCCAUACAAAGCCUUUUUCAGUCUGUACACCUUGUGUUCUUUGCCAGUGACCACAAAUCCUUGAGGCUGUUCGAUGUAGAUCUCUUCUUCCAGGAAACCAUUGAGAAAUGCAGACUUAACAUCAAGCUGAUGAAUGGUCCACUGAUGUUGAGCAGCCAAGGCAACUAUCAUUCUAACUGUGUCAAGCCUGGCUACUGGUGCAAAUGUCUCCAGAUAGUCCAGACCAUACCUUUGGCUAAAACCUUUGACAACAAGCCUGGCUUUUAGCUUGUUCAGACUGUCAUCUGCAUUCUGUUUUGCUCGAUAGACCCAUUUUACUCCAAUGGUCUUCUUUCCAGUAGGUUUAUCAACUAGCUCCCAUGUCUGGUUCUUCUCAAUCAUGUUGAUUUCAUCGACCAUAGCUAGUUUCCAGCCUUCAUCUGCCUCAGCCUCUUCAAAACUGCUAGGUUCUGCUAUUGCAACCUGUGCCCUUUCAUAAAUAUCAUCUAGGGGCCUUGUGCCUCUCACAAGCACAUCAUCAACAUCCAUUUCAGGUCCUAGCUGCUCAAGUUCAGCUUGAUUAGGCACCAGGUCUUCUGAAGCAGCUUCUGGUUCAUUCUUUUCCCAAUUCCAACAAGCCUUCUCAUCGAAGAUGACAUCUCUGCUCACUUGAACUAUGUUUGUCAAAGGAUCCAGCACCCUGUAGCCCUUCUUAACUGAGCUAUAGCCUACUAGAACACCUGGUUGAGCCCUUUCAGAGAGCUUGUCUCUCUUAACUGCUGGUAUUUGUGCAUAACACAGGCAACCAAACACCUUCAGAUGUACCAAGGAAGGCUUGAAACCGGACCAAGCCUCGAAAGGUGUUUUGGAUGCAAGAGCUUUGGUAGGAAGCCUAUUUUGAAGGUAGACAGCAGUGUUUACUGCCUCAGCCCACAUGGUCUUGGGCAGUUUCUUCUCAAACAGCAGGCACCUGGCCAUAUCCAUCAAGCUUCUGUUCUUUCUUUCUGAUACCCCAUUCUGCUGAGGUGUGUAGACAUUUGUAAGCUGGUGUUUGAUACCAGCAUCAUUGCAAAUGGCUUGAAACUGAGCUGAAGUGUACUCAGUGCCAUUGUCUGACCUUAUCGAUUUCAGCUUGCAACCUGUUUCUGUCUCUACAGCAAUUUUAAACUUCACAAACACUUGAGCUACCUCAAACUUGUGUUUUAAGAAGAAAAUCCAGCAAAACCUUGUAAAAUCAUCAAUGAAGAGGAUGAAAUACCUAUUUUUCUUGAGUGAUUCAGUCCUCAUCGGGCCACAUACAUCAGAGUGCACCAGCUGUAGUUUUUUAGUAGCUCUCUAAGCUGAAUUUGUAGGAAAUGGCAGUCUUGCCUGUUUCCCCAUCUGGCAAACUUCACACACAUCAUCAUGCUCCACUGAGCUAGUAAAGUUCUCUGCCAAGCCUUCUUUGGCCAUUCGAGCCAAUGAUCUGAAGUUGGCAUGCCCAAGCCUUUGAUGCCAAAGCUUGGAAUCAUCAACAGAGGCUGUAUAUGCAGACUUUGAGUCAUUUGGCCAGUGUACCUCAAAGCAUUUGUUAGUCAUUGUGACUGUCAUAAGGCUUGAUCCACUUGGAUCAGCAAUGUGGCACUGUUUGUUCUUGAACACAACAGAAUAGCCUUUCUUGAGCAAUUGAGCUAUGCUGAGAAGGUUUCUGUCGAUUUCUGGCACUAACAGCACAUUUGGAAUGAUCUUGUUGCCUGUGGGGGUACAUAUCAGCACCUCUCCUCUUCCUUCAGCCCUUAUGAACUGACCAUUUCCAACCUUGACCUUGGUUUUACAACUUCUAUCCAAGGUUUUAAAUAAGGAGGCAUCUGGUGACAUGUGGUUAGUGCAACCACUGUCCAAUAACCAGCCUUUUGAGCAUUUCUUCUCAGCAGCUAAGAAAGAAACAGCAAAGACCUGCUCUUCUUGAUCACUACUGUCCUCAGCUACUCGAGCUUCAACCUUUGGUUGUUGAAAUUGACUCUGCCUUGACUUGGUUUUAUUUUUGCAAACCCUUUCAACAUGGCCUUUCUUCUUGCAGUGUUGGCAUACUGCAUCUGGCCUGAACCAGCAUCUGUCUUCUGGAUGACCUGGCCUCUUGCAAUGUCUGCAGGGCUGGUCAUUGCUCCUUGCAGUAUCAGGCUUAGGCCUGCUUUUCCAAGGCUUUUUACCUCUUGGAGCAUUGAUGCUCGAGGCUUCUCUGGCCUUGGCAUUGAAUGCACCUUCCUGGUGGUCUUCAGCUCUGCUAGCUCUCCUUUGUUCCUGAGCAUAGAAAGUGUUGAUUAGCUCAGUCAAAGAGAUGGUAGCAAGGUCUCUUGAGUCCUCAAGAGAGGAUAUCUUGGCCUCAUAUCUCUCAGGCAAAGUGGAGAGAACUUUCUCUACUAUCCUUGCCUCAUCAAAGUGCUCACCAAGGAGCCUUAUACUGUUAACCACUGCCAUGAUUCUAUCUGCAUACUGCUUCACUGUUUCUUCUUCCUUCAUCUUCAGGUUCUCAAAAUCCCUUCUCAAAUUCAAUAGCUGUUGUUGCCUUGUUCUCUCAGUGCCUUGAAACUCCUCCUUAAGCUUAUCCCAUGCCUGUUUUGGAGUCUCACAGGCCAUAAUUCUGGUGAAGAUGACAUUUGACACACAAUUCUGAAUGCAGGACAUGGCUUUGUGCCUUUUGGUCCUCUCAUCAGCAUGUUGCCUAAUCUGAGCUACUGUGGGAUUGGCCCUCAGUGGUGCUGGCUCAGCAUCUGUGUUGACAACUUCCCACAGAUCAAAGGCCUGUAGGUAAGUCUUCAUCUUGACCAGCCAUAUGUGAAAGCCUUCUCCAUUGAAGACUAGUGGGGCUGCUGGUGAAAAACUUGAGGAAGACAUUCAGCUUUCUUAGUUUGAUAAAACAGGUCCACUAAGAAUGAAGCUCUAGAUACCAAUUGUUGGUGCAAAUAGACAACAACAGACUGUUUUCAAUCUUGCUUGUAUAGCAAGCCUCGAGCCUUGCUGAAGAAACAAACUCAGAAGCAAGAACAGAAACACAUGCGAAUGAAAAACAAAAGAAAUUGAGAGAGAGAGUAUUUUGAAUGAAAAGAGCUGAUAUUUCAUUAACAAAUCCAGAAGGCAUAAUGCCAUUACAUAUAAUAGAUAACAACAACAAAAUGAACAAGUCUUUACCUAAUGACAUACCUAACACCACUAAAUUUACAUUGGAAAUUGUUAAUCAGCUUGCUUAAGUUUCUUUGCUGAUUUUUUCAGUCAAUCAAUCAACAAAAAACAUCAUAAGGUUUACCAACUUAGUUCAACAUGAACUAGAUUACAAAAUAAUAAUUAAAAAUACAAUCAAAACAUAACAAGUAGUUAGGCAACUUUAAGCUCCAGUUUCUGCACUUCAUAGCUCGACUGCUUGCUGCCACUUCUCCUUGCAUGGCCACCUUUGCAUGUCUUGCAUGGGAACUAAAUUCAACAAAACUCCUUCUGCCACUCGAAACAAUGACCAUUCCAAACAUUUUGAUAGACAAUACACAAUUUGCUUCACUACUUACUCACAUAGCCAAAAAAUAUCCAAUGAAACUGGCAAAGGGUUCUUCCAAAAUGGUACAUUAGCUGCCAAAAAGACAACCACCAUAUAUUCCUUCAUUCAGUAAACAGCUUCAAUAUGGAAAUAAGUUAUUAUCUUAAAAAUGCUUUUUCUACCACAGAAGAAUAAGAACUAGGCAUCUCAGAAAAUUUGCUAAAUUAAUGACUUUGCUCCCUUCAAAAUAAACAAAUGAUUAACUGCAUUAUCCCAAAGAGGUCACCAUCAACCUCCAGUUGAACUUUCAAGGAAUAAUAAUAAAAAAUAGAAGGAAAUAAGGGGGAAAAAACCCAACCAGAACUCAGUAAUAGCUGAGCCUUGAAGAUCUGUAGGUAGUAAGAGAAAAACCCCAUGACGACUAAAGUCCAGGCUUGAAAGAACCAAAAGGGAGCAACAUAUGACUAUGAUUCACUGGACCAAGAGAAUCACCAAUGAAUAAAGGAAAAAGGGUACUUUCCUUUAUACCUAAACAUACAAUAUUUAGCCUCAAAAUGGGAAAAUUUCAGGUUUUCACAAAGGGUUUAAGAAAGAGGGUGAAAGUUAAAGAACUUGUCUUUGUUUUGAUGUGUGGUACACGAGAUAGUGAAGGAAAAUAGAGGUGAGGAAAUAAGAUGGAGUAAGUGCCUAAGUGGUGAAAAAGGAGAGCCUAAAAGAGACAUUUUUGAAGGGUAGUUUAGAAGCUGCAGAGGCUUUGGCAUACAGCAGCUGAUAAUGAGAGAAGACAAACCAGAAAUGUAAGUACGACGACGAUAAAAAUUAAAAAAUUUUAAGAAUUAAUGAAAUAAAAUUUUGUAGCUUAGCGAAUUGGGACGAAGUCCACCAGUGUGAUGCCCAUAGAUCCAUACCUGGGAUUUUUCUAUUUGGGCUAACUUUCUAACUUCUCCCACCAGUCUUAAAACUUUGCAGAUUUUUUCAAUUUGAUCUGGAUUGUAUGAUAACAUAUCACUUUGAGAUUGGAAAAAAAAUUAUUUUUUUUAAAUUAGAGAAAAAAUAAAGAAACUAAAUUUCAAGCAUGCAAAGUACAAAAGAAAGAACUGUAUUAAUAAAAGAUGAGUUACUUCACUCAGAUUGGAGUACCCUUUAAACAAGUUUAUUCUUGUAGAGAAAGAAACUGGAUUUUGAUUUCAUUUGCUGUGGCAAAAUUUUUAAUUUCAACAACAGUAUAACAUAUUGAAAGCCUGCCUACAUCUCGGCAGAAAAAUUUACAAAUUCUUUCAUCAGACAAUUUAAAUGAUGCAAUGCAAAGAUUCAUCAAUGUAUGAUCUUUUUAUCAUAAAUGGCUGUUUUACUGGAAAACUUGAUAUGUACUGUCUUUCACAUUCUUUUGUGCUGAAUGGUCUCUGAAAACUGCAAUCAUCAACUAUAGAUAACCCAUUCCUCAGCGCCGCCAGAGCCGACCUUGUUGUUUCUGUUCUUGAACUUGCCUGUGUCAUCAAAGGCAGUGAGCAUUUAUCAAUGUUAUAAAAAUGGCAUAUCGAAGUCAGAUUUUACUUGACAAUACACAAAUGUAAGAAGAUAAUUCACCUUUGAUACUCUUUAGAACGCUCGAGAAACUCUUUCGCGAUGUCUUUUCUUUAAUAUGAUUGCAAUACUUGUCUGAUAUCAGCCGGACCAUUGUGUUAGUACAAAACUCCGGUAAGGAAAAAAACUCGAACACACGAUCGGAACUCGAAAAGAAAAAGAAGAAAUAGGACAGGCUCCAAGGCGUGUAUCAAGCCACUAUCUUUAAGGUUAUAUUCGCCCCCACUUAUCUUCAGUGUGCAAACGAGUUCCAAGCAAAUUAACCUCGAGGAUACAAUGAAGCCAAUGACUAUUUGCGUUUUGCACUGACGAGAAUAGUCCACUAUACACUAAGUAAUGUAUAACAAAAACUCAAUUUCUACAAAGGAUUUCUGCAGCAAUACUUUAUAGAAUAAUCUAAUAAUAUUAGAAAAUGAAGGAAGAGAAGAAAUAAUAUUAGAAUUUGUUGAUAUGAUUUCCAAAUGAAAUCCCAUUCCUAUUUAUAGGAAUUUUCAUGUCUCUUCAUAGAGACAUCUUUCAAUAGGUGUCUUUAUGAAUAAAUAAAUAAUAAUAAUUAUUCAUUUAAUUUUGUAACUAUUCAAAUAAUAUUUUUUGAAUAGUUAUAAUUCUUUUUUAAAAAAUCAAAUGAUAUAACUUUUGACCAAUGACCAAAAGUUUUAUCUUUUGAUUAAUUACACCCAUUCAUUUAUAGUUAUUGGGAUACUAUAAAUAUUUGAAAAUAUUCCAACAAUCUCCCCCCAUUUUCAAAAUAUUUAGAUUUUGAUAUUCUUGGAAAUCAAUUUGCAUAAAUAAAGGUGUCUUACGAUUGAACCUUCACUUAGUGAAAACAUGUUAAAGUUAAUCGAAAUUGUAUGGUAGACUAAGCUUUGAACCAACUAUUCCAUUUGAUUAAUUGAACACAUCUCACACAAUGAUUUCAACAUCAGUCAAUGCAUAGUAUCUAGGGACACUAUUAUAGCCAUGUGUCUAUGUCCUCUUUUCAUGAGUGCUGUCAGAGCCAAGCCCUUAAGCUCCUAGAAGCGGCCACACUUCCACUCACAUAGGUAGAUCCCAUCAAAAGUGUUCCCGUAAUUAUAACACUCUAACAUAUUUAUGUUAUGGGUCCAUUAAGAGUAAAUUACUCAUCCUUCCCUUAUCAUUACGGGUACCUAGCACUUUAAUCUUAGGAUGGAUUUAUUUAUAGUGCUAACAGUCACAUACUAAUGAUGUACUUUGUCUCAUUGAACUCAAGACUUGACGUUAUACCAAGCAUUGAGUCGAGUUUCCAUCAUGGGUGACUCUAAUUAAUAGGCUUGAGUCCCAUCCCUUUUGAGGUCCUUUUUACUGCAUCUCUAGCAAGACUUUUUGUCAAAGGAUCUGCCAAAUUUUCACUUGACCUCACAUAAUUAAUAGUGAUCACUCCAUCAGAGAUUAAUUGUCGGACAUAACUAUGUCUUAAUCCAAUGUGUCUAGACUUUCCAUUAUAUACUUGGCUAUAUGCCUUUGCUAGAGUAGCCUCACUAUCACAACGGAUAGAAAUAGGUGAAAUUGGCUUAAGCCAUAAACGUACAUCAUAAAGCAAAUUUCUUAACCAUUCUGCUUCUUUAGAUGCAGCGGCUAAUGCAAUAAAUUCUGCUGCCAUGGUGGAAUCAGUAAUACAUGUUUGUUUCUUGGAACCCUAAGAAAUGACUCCUCCACCAAGAAUGAAGAUCCACCCACUAGUAGAUGCAUGAUCUUCCAAACUUGUAAUCCAACUAGCAUCCGAAUACCCUUCUAAAACUGGAGGAUAUCCAUUAUAACACAAUCCAUAGUUAAUAGUUUUCUUUAAGUACCUAAGUACUCUAUUUAAAGCUUGCCAAUGCAAACUACUUGGAUUAUUUGUGUAUCUACUCAAUUUUCCAAUAGCAUAUGCAAUAUCUGGUCUUGUACAAGUCAUUAUGUACAUAAGAAAACCAAUUGACUUGCAUAUUUCAAUUGAUCAAUUUUCCUACCAGCAUUAGAUACUAAUUUUAAUUGAGGAUCCAUGGGUGUAGAUACUGGUAUACAGUUGAAAAUAUCAAACUUUUUAAGCACAUUUUCAAUGUAAUGUGAUUGUGAUAAAGCUAUAGUGCUUUCAUCUCGGGUUAUUUUAAUCCCAAGAAUAACAUCUUCUACACCCAUAUCCUUCAUAGCAAAGUUGUUUGACAAGAAUUUCUUUGUGUUUUCUAUUUGUUCCAAAUCCGUGCCAAAAAUGAGCAUGUCAUCUACAUAUAAGCAAAUUAUAACACCCUUUCCAUUAUCAAAUUUACUAUAUAUGCACUUAUCGGAUUCAUUUAUUUAUAGCCAUUAGCUAAAACAACCUUGUCAAACUUUUGGUGCCAUUGUUUUGGUGCUUGUUUAAGCCCAUAUAAAGAUUUAACAAGCUUACAUACCUUAUGCUCUUGUCCUGGAACAACAAAUCCUUCCGGUUGCUCCAUGUACACUUCCUCUUCCAAUUCACCAUUUAAAAAUGCAGUUUUAACAUCCAUUUGGUGAACAACCAAAUUAUAUAUAGAGGUAAGUGAUAUUAAUAGUCUAAUUGUAGCAAUUCUUGCUACUGGAGCAUAGGUAUCAAAGUAAUCAAUACCUUGUCUUUGUGUAAAACCUUUUGCUACCAACCUUGCUUUAAAUUUAUCAAUGGUUCCAUCGACCUUCAUUUUCUUUUUGAAGAUCCAUUUACAACCUAUUGGUUUGGAACCUGGUGGAAGAUCAACUAAGAUCCAAGUUUGAUUUCCCAUUAUUGAAUCCAUUUCAUCAUUUAUUGCUUCUUUCCAAAAAGUAGAGUCUUGAGAUUUCACUGCUUCUUCAAAUGUAACAGGAUCAGAUUCGGUAUUAUAACAAUAAGGUAUCUUAUUGCAUAUACUUUCACCUUUUCCUUCUAUAAGAAACAUAAUGAAAUCUGGUCAAAAAUCUUUGACCUUUUUAAUCCUCUUACUUCUUCUUAAUUCUUGACAAGAUUCAUCAUUAUUAUCAAUUUGUUUCAAUGGAAUCUCAUUCUCAUUUGAAGAAUGAAUCAAUUGUUGUGGUUGUAAUUGUCUUGAUAUAGAAUUAAAUCUAUUUUCAUCAAAAAUAGCAUCUCUUGAUUCAAUAACCGUAUUAAUUGAAAUUGAAUCAUUUGGUUCAAUUACUAUGAACCUAUAUGCCUUGCUAUUAUGUGCAUAACCUAUAAAUAUGCAUUCAAUUCCUCUUUCACCUAACUUUUUACGUUUAGGUGUUGGAACUUUUACAAUAGCUCUACAACCCCAAACCUUUAAAUAAUUAAGGUUUGGUUUCCUUUUCUUCCAUUGUUCAUAGAGGGUUAUUUUAGUUUCCUUAUUAGGAACUCUAUUCAAUAUAUGACAAGCUGUUAGAACAGCUUCUCCCCAAAAACCCUGUCCAAGACCUGAAUAUGAUAACAUUGAAUUUACCAUUUCAAUCAAGACUCUAUUUUUCCUUUCAGCUACACCAUUUUGUUGUGGUGUGUAAGGGGCUGAAACUUGAUGGACAAUUCCAGUGAGUUCAAAAUAACUUGGAUUAUAGUAUUCUCCACCUCUAUCCGAUCUUAAGCACUUGAUAAAUGAUUCACACUGAAGUUCAACUUCAGAUUUAUAAACUUUAAAUUUAUCAAGCGCUUCAUCUUUUGAAUGCAAUAAAUAUACAUAACAAUAUCUAGAACAAUCAUCAAUAAAAGUAACAAAAUAUUUCUUUCCACCUAAUGUAGGAGUAUUAUGCAAGUCACAUAAAUCACUAUGUAUCAAAUCAAGCAAUUUUGUUUUCCUUUUAACCUUAGGGAAAGGAUUUCUUGUAAUUUUAGUCAACAUACAGGUAUUGCAUUUUUCAAUAUUAUUAUUAAAAACAGGAAUUAAAUCUAAUUUAUACAUGUCAUUCAAUUUUCUAUAAUUCAAAUGACCUAAUCUAUAAUGCCACAAACAAAAUGAUUCAACCAUAUAAGCAGAAAUAGUAUUUUUAUUCUUAUUAAUAAUAUUAAGUUUGAACAUGCUUUCAUACAUAUACCCUUUUUCCCACAAAAAUUCCUCCCUUAGACAAAAUAAACUUAUCUGCCUCAAAAACAAGUUUGAAACCAAACUUAUUCAACAGACUUCCAGACACUAAAUUUUUCCUAACUUCUGGUACAUAAUAUACAUCAUUUAAGGUUAAAACCUUUCCAGAAGUGAAUUGUAGUUCAACAGACCCUUUGCCUUUAAUUUGCGGUGGAAGAAUUUCCCAUGUACAAGACAUUGUCAUUUUCACAUUGUGUGACUUUGUGAACAUGCUUUUGUCUUUGCACACAUGUUUGGUUGCUCCGGUAUCAAUCCACCAUGUAUUAUCAUCUUGUACCAUAUUAAUUUCAGAUAUCAUUGCAACGAACUUUUCGUUAUUAUCAGCCUUAGAAGAUGAUUUCUUCUUUAAAAAUCGAUAUUCAUUCUUGAAAUGUCCCGGCUUUCCACAAUGAUAGCAUGAGCCCUUUUGUUUCUUUUUGAACUUAGGUGCUCUAUCAGCCUGAUUGAACUUUCUUUUGAAUGGUUUAGUAGUCUGUACUUCCUCCGUAACAUGUACUUUGGCAUUUUCAGAAUUUAGGUUCUGAUCUUGUUGUCGAUACUCUUCUUCAAUACGAAGAUGAUUUGCCAAAGCCUCAAGAGAUAUUUCCUCUUUCUUAUGUUUUAGACUUCUUUUAAAGUCUUUCCAAGAUGGAGGAAGUUUGUCUAUUAUAGAGGAUACCACAAUUAUUUCAUCCAUUUUCAUAUCAUAUUGCUUAAAUUGAUUCAACAUCUUUUCAAUAUCACGAAAUUGUUCCAUAACAGAACGACCAUCAACCAUUUGAUAAUUAUUGAAACGACUGACAAGAAAUUUCUUACUUGUAACAUCUUCGGUCAUGUAUCUUGCCUCCAAUUUGUCCCAUAAAUCUUUAGCGGUGACGUCGUUUUGGUAGGUGUCGAACAAACCAUCAGAUAAACCAUUCAAUAUGUGGCCCAUGCACAUGUAAUCAGCAUUGUCCCAUUUUUGUCUUUCUCGGGUUGCAGCAAUAGAUUCGUUUUCAUUCUCUUCAGGUCUUGGAGUAUCCAAAACAUAAGCAAUCUUCAAAGUUGAUAACAAAAAGUGCAUCUUUUUCUGCCAUCGUCGAAAAUUGCCACCAUCAAAACGAUCAAGUUUAACAAAGUUGGAAGCCAACUCCCUUAGUGUUCCACUUUCAUGUGUUGUGGUAGUCAUCAUGAAAUAUAACCUUAAAAUUGUUAGUACAAAACUCCGGUAAGGAAAAAAACUCGAACACACGAUCGGAACUCGAAAAGAAAAAGAAGAAAUAGGACAGGCUCCAAGGCAUGUAUCAAGCCACUAUCUUUAAGGUUAUAUUCGCCCCCACUUAUCUUCAGUGUGCAAACGAGUUCCAAGCAAAUUAACCUCGAGGAUACAAUGAAGCCAAUGACUAUUUGCGUUUUGUACUGACGAGAAUAGUCCACUAUGCACUGAGUAAUGUAUAACAAAAACUCAAUUUCUACAAAGGAUUUCUGCAGCAAUACUUUAUAGAAUAAUCUAAUAAUAUUAGAAAAUGAAGGAAGAGAAGAAAUAGUAUUAGAAUUUGUUGAUAUGAUUUCCAAAUGAAAUCCCAUUCCUAUUUAUAGGAAUUUUCAUGUCUCUUCAUAGAGACAUCUUUCAAUAGGUGUCUUUAUGAAUAAAUAAAUAAUAAUAAUUAUUCAUUUAAUUUUGUAACUAUUCAAAUAAUAUUUUUUGAAUAGUUAUAAUUCUUUUUUAAAAAAUCAAAUGAUAUAACUUUUGACCAAUGACCAAAAGUUUUAUCUUUUGAUUAAUUACACCCAUUCAUUUAUAGUUAUUGGGAUACUAUAAAUAUUUGAAAAUAUUCCAACACAUUGCGGGCUACAUCUGUGAACAAAUCAAAACAAAUGGUACUAUAAUCAACAAAUGAAUAUAGGAAACAUAAAAUUUGAACAAAGGCGAUGUGCAGAGGAAAAAGCAACAACAUAAGACUUACAUUCAAGAAAUGGAAUAAGGUCUAAAAGUGCGGUAUCAUCAGUCUCGACCUUAUAUGGCUUAAUAUGGACACAAUUUUCUGGUUGAAGGCUAGAAUCAAAUGCAUGAGCACUCACAUAUAAAAUCUUGGUUGGAUCCCUGUUUAGCUUUGAAAGAUCCUGCCAACAGGAACUAUUUGUUAACAAUAAGGCUUCUUUUUAAGUAGCAGCUUGUAAAGGCACUGUCUCAUAUAUUAAUUCACAUAGUAUUGUAGAAACUAAGGAGGAGAAAACCAAAAGCAAAAUGUUUUGAAGGGAAGAGAUUGACUAUGACAUGGUAAAAGUAUCAUGGAGGCCCCUAUGUUAGGAGUUAGAUUGCCUUUUGCCCCCUUUACUCAAAAACUGGAUAAAUUAGUCCCUAUAUGUUAGAUUAAAGAGUAAGCUAGACUUUCUGUUAAAAAUUUCAUCCAUUGCUACUGUUAAAAACUGGUGCAGUUGAUAAAAUAACCAAACAGUUACACAUAAUGUGUCACGUGUACCUCAUGCUAAUGUAUAUGGACCAAUUUUUAACAGUAGAAAUGGAUGGAACUUGUAACAGAAGGGCUGGUUUGCUUUUUAAUCUAAUUUACAGGGAUUAAUUUGCCCAUUUUUUUAGUAAAGGGGUGAAAUGCAAUAUGACUCCUAGUAUAAGGGCCUCCAUGGUACUUUUACCACUAUGACAUACUCUAUAAUGCUUGCCAUCCUGAUAUUUAGUAGCACCCCUUGAUAGCCUAUAUCGUAUACAAUGGUUAGUGUCCAACCUUUCACAAGCAGGAUCAACAUACCGCAUAGCCAAAAACAAAAUAAUUAUGAACUUGCAGGCAACAUCAGUUAUAGUAUAUCUGAAAAAGAUAAGGAAAAAAAACUGUUACUUUCAUAUCUAAUUUCUUUAUAGUAUUAGGACAAACUAAACAAUGGAUAUAUCACAUUAUUAAGACUUAGCUAAGGAGCCGCUGAUAUACAUUCAAAUGAUCAAUCAUAAAGGAUGAACUAGGAGGCCUAAUGAUAAAUCAAAAUUACACCUAAACCAGUUAUAUGUCUAAAGGCAAUUGCACAUUAUAUCAAUCAAACAACUAAAAUAAAUAGAGAAAAUCCUUUAAAAUAUUCAAUUUCUAAACAAAAUCAAACUCACAUCAAUAGCAGAUCUUGACAAAGAAACCCAAAAUCACAAAUGAUCCUAUCUUUUUAAAAGGGGAAAAAGAAAACUUACUAUAAGAGAGAUAACCAGCAUAGCCAGUAGUUCCAGUAACACCUGCAAUGAGUCCGUACUUGACAAAGCUCUAAAUUUUCCCUCCCGAAACCUGUGGGGCAACUUUCGGCGCCAGAGGAGGAGGUGUCGACUGAUCGGAGAGAAUGGAUUGUGAAGAACAAUCCAAACUUAAUUUACAAGCAAUGUGGAAAUUUUGGACGUUGCAGUAUUGACUACGUUUACUUGAGGGAAAACAAAGACAUGAAUGCUGGAAAUUUUAACUAGUUUGUACGGUCAAUGAAGCUACCUCGAAUGUUAAAUAUGUUACUCUGCAAUGCCAUUGUAAAUAUGACUGUUAAAUUUGUUGAUAGCGGAAUUGUUCCACUCAAGUUAUUGUGGGACAAAUCAAGAAUUUGAAGAAAAGUGACAUUGCAUGUUAAACAAGAGACCUCUCCAUUGAAACUAUUAUUUGAGAUCAGAAAGACAUUGAUUGUCGAAGCUGGAAUCGGAAGAUUUCCACGGAUCAAAUAGGAGCUUAAGUCAAGAACUACAAUAUUCUUCCAUGGAAAGUGCAAAACUUCUGUCAAAGAGUUGCUGUAAUUGGAUUAAUCUCAUCGUUGCUGCAAUCUUUUGACAAAUCGAAUCUUAAAUAUGUUACUCUGCAACGCUAUUGUAAAUGUUACUCUUAAAUAUUACUCUGUAACUAGAUUGAUGGCUCAAUCUUGUUUUUAACAUUGUUAUGGGUAUUACUACUUUCAUGCUUUGAUACGCGAUACCCUCUUUCUAGGUGACAUUUUUGCUCCUUCCGGGCCACCAUGGGCUCUCUGCAUCACUCACCAACCUCAUUAGAUUCCCCGGGUGCCAUUUGGCCAUCUCAAGUCUCAAAAUAGCAUCAAAAUGCACUCUAAUAAUUUAUUAAUAUAAAGAACUAAAACAAAAUAAAAACACAACAAAGAUAUCUAAAUUGCACGAAAAUAAGCUUUUAAGUGUGAUGGAGAGUCUAAUUUGACAUAUCAAUUAAUGUUUGACUAUCUCCAUCUCACUUUUUAUUAAUUAAGGAAUAUGAAUUAGAAUUAAUAUAAACUUACUAUUUUAACAUUUCAUAAGCAAAAGCUAAAAUAAUAUUGGUCACAUCCCAUAUCUUCAUAUAUAGCUUAUCAGACAAAAGUUAAAACAGCCUUCAGUUCAUCUACAUUCUACAUUCCACGUCGAAUCUGCAAGCAUCAAAUAUUAACCUUUGAACUCCAAAAUAACAACACCAAUUUCCAGCAAUUGCAGAAGAAUGUCCAAUAAUUCCACACAAAUUAACAACAAUUUGCCAGCAUCCACUACAUUCGUAUGAAUUCCACACAAAUUAAGACUGGAAACUCUAACUUGUUCAUACCCUCAAUGAAGCUACCUAAAAGUUAUGAAUUCCACUGCAAAUUUUGUAUUGCUUGGAAUGAAUUGACUGUAAUUUCCUAUUACUUGCCACAAAAUUUUCUUUUACUGCUAACUUGUAAAAAAAUUAUGAAAAUACAACAGAGAUCAUUGAGACAUUUUGUUCUCCUUUCUCCUUUACUGAGCAGUAGCAAAGAUUAUCGAGACUAAAUUGAAAGUCAUGAAAGAAGACAUAAACAACACCACCAUACAAAAUGUUACACUCAAACAAACCAUUACAGAUAGUACGAAAUGCAAUGAAAGACACAGGAAUUGGUACAACAAUAAAGACAGACACAUACCAAUGCAACCCUUCACCAUAGGCAAAACGGUCUACAGAAUAAGAAAUUAUGAAAAUACAACACUAAUUCUUGAACAUCAUUUCCAGUAAUUAGAUCCUUCUUCGUCUAUUGCUUCGAUUGCCUUUCUUUGACUUUCUUCUUCGCCUCAUCUCUUGUUGGUUUUCAACCAAAUUCACCAACCAUUUCGGCUUACCAAUUUGGAAAACAACAUAUCCCACGGACAUUCCGAACACCACUCUGCAUCCAUAACCUAUCAACACCACUUUCCAACCAAAAGCAAUGUUUGAUUUUGAGCCAUCUUUUUCAAGCGCAUUUGGAGGUGCUGGCUCAAUGAUGUUGCAACCUUUCGAGACCGGAAACCCACACAGUCCAUUAUUCCCUUCAUAUGAAUCAUUUCCAAAUGUGUUGAAUUGUUUUCCUUGAGGAAUCUGACCAUGGAGUUGAUUUUCAGCGACAUUGAAGGACGAAAGAAAUGGCAGAUCUGCCAAUCUAUUUGGAAUCGUCCCAGACAACCUGUUUGAAGAUAGGUCCAACCAUUCAAUACUUGUCAAAUUCCCUAUUGAUGUGGGAUACCACCAUUAAGGUUAUUAUGAGAAAGGUUGAGCCCUUUCAGUAAGUUAAGCUUCCCAAAAACCUUUGGAAUACCCCCUUCAAACUGAUUGUUUGAUAGAUCAAUGAUCAUCCACAUGGUGAAAAUUUUCACCAAUUCCAUAUAUUGUCCUUUCAUAACAGUUCCGAUGGAAUAGGUAUAGAAGCCAUUACCUCUCGGAACAUACAUCCCCAUGUACGACAUUGUACUCCCAAUCUUCUCUAGAUUUAUGAUACCCUUGAAGCUGUUGAUGUAUCUCACUGGUAGGGGUCCAGAAAAAUAAUUACUUGAGAGAAAAAAAAUUUGGAUUUUAGAGAAAAAAGGGCUAGACUUGGAGCUAUUGUCACAUAAGGAACCAUGCAUAUGAUUUGACUUCAAUACAAGAACUUGUAGCUGUGGAAGACUUCCCAACCAAUGAGGAAAUGUAUCAUUGAUCUUGUUCUUCUUCAGAUUCAAGAAUUGAAGGCUGUAGCUCAAAUUUUCAAAACAUUGCGGAAUUGUUCCGCUCAAGUUAUUGUGGGACAAAUCACGAAUUUGAAGAAAAGUGACAUUGCAUAUUAAAGAAGAGACCUCUCCAUUGAAACUAUUAUUUGAGAUCAGAAAGACAUUGAUCGUCGAAGCUGGAAUGGGAAGAUUUCCACGGAUCAAAUUGGAGCUUAAGUCAAGAACUGCAAUAUUCUUCCAUGGAAAGUGCUCAACUUCUGUCAAAGAGUUGUGAGAUACAUUUAAGUCAAAGAGCCAUUGCCCACCUCUUGCAUCCACUGUGGAAUCUUGCCUUCAAUUUUGUUGCAAGAGAGGUCCAAGCUUUCCAAACUUUUAAGCCCUUAUAAAAACUGGGGGAAUUCACUAAGAUUGAAAGAUGACAAACGUAAGUCUAUAAGAUUAGACAAUAUAUGGUUAACACAAGAAGUAGUAUUAAAUGUUAAGGAUAGGCUGUUAUAUGAAAGGUCGAGAAGUUUUAGAGUUGGAAGGUUUGAGAACAUGCGAAACUCUAUGACACCACUAAGAUUAUUUGAGGAUAAAAGGAGGUGGGUAAGAUUGAGAAGUUGGAAUAUUGAAGAUGGAAGAGGACCUUGGAGUUUAUUAUUGUUUAACCUUAUCAAUUCUAGUGUUUUGGAUUGGAAUUCUUUGAUAUGCCCACUGAAUUGUUUUUAGAGAGAUCUAUUGUUUAACCACGUUAUUUUUCAGUGACGGAUCGAGAAAUAAAACUUAGGGGGAGCAGGGGCGAAGUUAGAAAAUUAGUUUGGGGUAAUCGAAAUUAAAUUAUAUAUUUUUAUGAUAGUAAAAAUAGAAUUUCGUCAUUUUAAUAGCCUAUAUCUUUAUAAUUUUUAGAGGAUUAAAUUAAUUUUUUAUCAUUUGAGGGGGGCAAAGUGCAAUUUUACCGUUAUUAAUUUAAAAUUUUAUAAAUUAUAAAUGGCCUAAAUUUUAAAAAAAAAAUCAUUUUAGGGGGUUGAGACCCUGUCAGCCCUCUCCCUAGACCCACCCCUAGUCUUUUUGAUACAAUUUGGCAGUUUAAGUACUUAAUUAGUGCAAAAAAAAAAAAACUAGGGGCUCAAUAGCUUUUUUUUGAAAAAGUUUGAGAGCCUUUUUGAUCCAUUUUGGCAGUUCAAAUGCCCAAUUCAGUGCAAGAAAAGAAGUAGGGGCUUAAUUAUUUUUUUUUAAAAAAAGUUUGAGAGCCUUUUUACACCAUUGAACCUUUUUUAUACUAAUUGGUAGACGCGAAGUUAUAAAUAUUUAAUUGUUAAUGUAAUUUUUAGAAUUUCUAAAGAAUAAUAAUAUUUAAAAUCUUAUAAUUUUUUUUAUUUCAUGUGCAUAAAAAACUUAAAUAAAUAAGUGUUUAGAUUUAGAUUAAUCACGCUGUCCAUUUAUUCAUAUUCAUUCUAGAGGUAUAACUUUUAGUUAUUUUAUAUGUUUUUAUAAUUAAAAAUAAUGGUAUAAAAGUCGAUUAAGUUUUAGCUCAAUUGACAUAGACAUUGUUGUUGAGGAGGACCUAUUGGUAGUUCUAGGCAUUGUGUCAAAAUGAACUAUAUUUGAUAAGAACCUAUAAUGAAAUUAAUGUUAAAAAAAUAAUAGUAUAAAAAGCUAAUAUUUUUAUAAAAGUUUCAUUUUUUUUUCAGUUUUUGGAUUUUUCUCAUAUAAAAUUUUAGAAUUGUUUCUUGAAUUUUUAUAGCUUUUCUUAUUAUGAUGUUAUAUAAUUUUAGAUUUUUAUACAUCUUUAAUAUUUUUUUAGUUUUUUAUUGUUUCUCAAAUAAUGCUUGGUUGAUGUAGCUUGCCAAGUGGUAUCGUGUUAUUGGCUGUCAAUUUCAAUAAUAAAAAAAUUUGGAGUUGAUUAGUUAUGAACUAACUCGAUUAAUCAAUUCUAAAUUUAAGUACUAAUUAAGUCCAAAAAAAGUUCAAAUUUCAAUUCAUGCAAGUUGGAUGGCAAUGAAACGGGAUUGGGGUGCGAAUAUUGUCAAAUUCACUAUUGUUUCAUAGUUGAUGUGUUUUGUCCCAUCACUCACCCCCGCUCCACUAUGGAUGUUUAAUUUUGAAAACCACUCACCCCAUGGAUGUUGGAUGCAUCCAUCCCUGCUUCACGUCGUGCCAUUUCAAUUUAAUUUUUAUUAGUUUUUUUAAAAAUAUUUUCAAUUUUUUUUUAAUUUUAAAAUAUUUUCAAUCUUUUUAAAACUUAUAAAUAUUUAAACAUAAUUAUUCAAGAAAAACAUUUAAACAUAAAACAUAUGAGUUUUUUAUAACAUAUUUUUACCCUUUAAUAGUUAUAAAUAUACAAGGGUCGAAUAGUAAUUUCAAAUAGUGAAAUAGAGUGGAUUGGGACAAACAAUUACCAUAACUGCUACACUUAAUCAUCGUAAAAAAAAAAAAAAAAAAUCUAUUUCAUCCCCGCCCAUAUUCCCUUUUAAAAGGAUCUACUCUAAAUGAAACAAACCAAUUCAAAAUCCAUUUAACAUCCUAAAUUCUAAAACUAAUUUUGAUAUGAAGUCUCAAUUAAAUUCAAGUAAUAAGGUUUUUUGAUAUGGUUUACACUACUAACUUCUAUAUGAAAACAACAACCAUUUCCCAUGAUGUUUGCGGCUUACCAACAAAUCCUUGCAGAUUUUCAACGUAGAAGAAAAUCAUGAAAAUAAAAAAAAAAAAAAAAAAAAAACUCUGGUUGGGAUUUGUUUCAUAUGGAAAACAGAAAACAAAACUUAAGUUAGUCAAAAUUACCAACUCACUGCUGACAACAUUUUUGUUGUAACCAAACAUUUGGAAGAAAAUAAACACAAGAGCACGCCGUUGACCUGUAUUUCUUUUAUUCUUCAAUUCUAUUUCAUCUUUAAGCUGUAACCAAUGAUAAUCAAAUCUUGACUUGCAUAAAAACCAAAGAAAACAAAAUGAAUGCAGCAGAAUUUUCUACCACAAAUGAGUAGUAAUUUACAGAUAAUAAAAUUAUCGAAAAACUAUUGAGAGUCGAAUUUCAUAUUAAUUGUGGUAUCCAUGAACUAGAAUGUAUUAAAAAAAGAAGGAUAUUGACCUUGAGACUACUUGCAAUUUUCAAAAACACUCUCAAUUCCUCUCCCCCUCUUCGGGCACCGGCCCAAGAUCCUGCCAUUGGCUACCACGCCGGCCGCUAGUCGCCAGCGCCGGCGCCGUGCAUGGAGGAGGAGAGUCCAAAAAUAUCCUUUUUUUUUUCUCACAUGCAGAUCCUCGGCCUCCAAACACUCCGACGACGGCUACAAAGGUAAAAAGGCCUCUCAUUUUUUAUUUUUAUAAUGCUUCAAAAUAAAAAAAUAAAAAAAAGGGAAAAAAUCACCUUUAAAAAAAACUGAUUCCUGUUUUUUAUUUCUCUUUGUUUUUUUUUUUCCAAAAGAGAACUCCCUUAAUUUUUCAUCUUUUUUAGCCCUUAAACCUACGUUGUUUAUCAAUAACCUUAAACUUACAUUGUUUACCGGAUGAAAAAUUUAAUAUUUAUUAACUUUGCUAAGGUGCACAUAUGCAAUUUAUUUAAAUCUAAAAACUAUAAAAUAUCUUAAAAUUAAAACUAAAAGUUUUUAAACUACUUGAUUGCUCCUUUCUCCUUUACUGAGCAGUAGCAAAGAUAAUCGAGACUAAAUUGAAAUCCAUGAAAGAAGACAUAAAACACCUCCAUACAAAGUGUCACACUCAAACAAACCAUUACAGAUAGUACGAAAUGCAAUGAAAGACAGAGGAAUUGCUACAAUAACAAAGACAGACACAUACCAAUGCAACCCUUCACCAUAGGCAAAACAAGAAAUUAUGAAAAUACAACACUAGUUCUUGAACAUCAUUUGCAGUAAUUAGAUCCUUCUUCGUCCACUGCUGCGAUUGCCUUUCUUUGACUUUCUUCUUCGCCUCUUCUCAUGUUGGUUUUCAACCAAAUUCACCAACCAUUUCGGCUUUCCAGUUUGGAAAACAACAUAUCCCACCAGCAUUCCGAACACUACUCCGCAUCCAUAACCUAUCAACACCACUUUCCAUUCAAAAGCAAUGUUUGAUUUUGAGCCAUCUUUUUCAAGCACAUUUGGAGGUGCUGGCUCAAUGAUGUUGCAACCUUUCGAGACCGGAAAUCCACAUAGUCCCUUAUUUCCUUCAUAUGAAUCAUUUCCAAAUGUGUUGAAUUGUUUUCCUUGAGGAAUCUGACCAUGGAGUUGAUUUUCAGAAACAUUUAAGGACGAAAGAAAUGACAGAUCUGCCAAUCUAUUUGGAAUCGUCCCAGACAACCUGUUUGAAGAUAGGUCCAACCAUUCAAGACUUGUCAAACUCCCUAUUGAGGAGGGGAUAUCACCAUUAAGGUUAUUAUGAGAAAGGUUGAGCCCUUUCAGUAAGUUAAGCUUCCCAAUAACCUUUGGAAUACCCCCUUCAGACUGAUUGUUUGAUAGAUCAAUGAUCAUCCACAUGGUGAAAAUUUUCACCAAUUCCCUAUCUUGUCCUUUCAUGACAAUUCCAAUGGAAUAGGUAUAGAAGCCACUACCUCGAGAAUCAUUCACCCCCAUGUACGACACCGUACUACCAAUCUUUUCUAGAUUUAUGAUAGCCUUGAAGCUGUUGAUGUAUCUCACUGGUAGGGGUCCAGAAAAAUAAUUACUUGAGAGGUCAAAAAUUUGGAUUUUAGAGAAAAAAGGGCUAGACUUGGAGCUAUUGACACGCAAGGAACCAUGCAUAUGAUUUGACUUCAAAACAAGAACUUGCAAAAAUGGAAGACUUCCCAACCAAUGAGGAAAUGUAUCAUUGAUCUUGUUGUUACCAAGAUCUAGCACUUCCAGACCAUUACAAUUAAGGAUGGAUGGUGUCAAAGGCCCUUCUAACAGAUUUCCAUUUAAGUUGAAAUUAGUCAGUUGGCAUCCCUUUGCAAAUGUUAGAGGAAUCGUCCCAUAGAACUCGUUCUUCUUCAGAUUGAAGACUUGAAGGAUGUUGCUCAGAUUUCCAAAACAUUGCGGAAUUGUUCCACUCAAGUAAUUGUGGGACAAAUCAAGAAUUUGAAGAUAAGUGGCAUUGCAUAUUAAAGAAGAGACCUCUCCAUUGAAACUGUUAUUUGAGAUCAAAAAGACAUUGAUGGUCGAAGCUGGAAUCGGAAGAUUUCCACGGAUCAAAUUGGAGCUUAAGUCAAGAAAUUCAAUAUUCUUCCAUGGAAAGUGCUCAACUUCUGUCAAAGAGUUGUGAGAUACGUUUAAGUAAGUCAAAGAGUCAUUCCCCACCUCUUGCAUCCACUGUGGAAUCUUGCCUUCAAUUUUGUUGCAAGAGAGGUCUAACCUUUCCAAACUUUUAAGCCCUUUUAAAAACUGGGGGAAUUCACUAAGAUUGCAAGAUGACAAAAAUAAGCUUCUAAGAUUAACAGUAGAUGUAGUAUUAGAUGUUAAGUAUAGGCUGUUAAAUGAAAGGUCGAGAUAUUUUAGAUUUGGAAGGUUUGAGAACAUACGUAACUCUAUGACACCACUUAGAUUAUUUGAGGAUAAAACGAGCAAGGUAAGAUUGAGAAGUUGGAAUAUUGAAGAUGGAAAAGGACCUUGGAGUUUAUUAUUGUUUAGAUAUAAAUGUUCUAGUGAUUUGGAUUGGAAUUCUUGGAUAUGCCCACUGAAUUGAUUUUGAGAGAGAAUUAUAACCUUUAAGGAGGGAGCAGUAUACAACCAUGACGGAAGUGUUCCAUUGAGUAAAUUGUCAGAUAAGCCUAAAUAUAUUAGAUUAGGAAAAGUGGUUACCUCAUCUGGAAUGGAUCCUUCUAAAGAAUUUUCAGAUAUUCCCAAGUAUUCCAGCUGGGUUAGGUUUAGAAUUGACAAUGGAAUUUGUCCACUCAAUUGGUUCUGCGACAAGUCUAAAUGAGUGAGUUGCAAGAGGUUCCCCAAUGAUAUUGGAAUUUGUCCACUCAAUUGGUUCUGCCACAAGUUUAAAUCAGUGAGUUGCAAGAGGUUCCCCAAUGAUCUUGGAAUUUGUCCACUCAAUUGGUUCUGCCACAAGUCUAAAUCAGUGAGUUGCAAGAGGUUGCCCAAUGAUCUUGGAAUUUGUCCACUCAAUUGGUUCUGCCACAAGCCUAAAUUAGUGAGUUGCAAGAGGUUCCCCAAUGAUCUUGGAAUUUUUUCACUCAAUUGGUUCUGCCACAAGCCUAAAUGAGUGACUUGCAAGAGGUUCCCCAAUGAUCUUGGAAUUUUUCCACUCAAUUGGUUCUGCCACAAACCUAAAUCAGUGAGUUGCAAGAGAUUCCCCAAUGAUCUUGGAAUAUUUCCACUCAAUUGGUUCUGCCACAAGCCUAAAUGAGUGAGUUGCAAGAGGUUCCCCAAUGAUCUGCCACAAGCCUAAAUGAGUGAGUUGCAAGAGUUUCCCCAAUGAUCUUGGAAUUUGUCCACUCAAUUGGUUCUCACACAAGUCUAAAUAAGUGAGUUGCAAGAGGUUCUCCAAUGAUCUUGGAAUUUGUCCACUCAAUAGGUUCUGUGACAAGUCUAAAUAAGCGAGUUGCAAGAGGUUCCCCAGUGAUCUUGGACCCGGUCCUGAUAAGUUGGAAUGGGAGAGAUCUAAAACCUUCAAGGACACAAGAUUCCCCAUCCAGUCAGGCAAUCCUCCAAAAAAAUUUGCGCCUCCAAGAAUCAACUACUCCAAAGAUGAUAAAUUUGUGAAUGAGACAGACAAUCCUUGAAAGAAGGAAUUUCCUGAGAGAUCUAAGUACUUUAAGGCCUGUAGAUUAUCAACUGAAUCAAUGAAUUCUGUAGAGAAGGACACGAACGACAGAUCCAAAUGUUCAAGAUUGCUGCUCCGAUUGAACUUCAAAGGAUCAAGAUUGAGGUUUUGGUUGCCUCCCAAGUUGAGGAGAUUGAGGUUUGGCAAAUCAAAAAUGUUUUUUGGGAAUUUUCCUUGCAAAUCACAAAAAGCAAGACUGAGAGACCUUAGAGAAGAGGAUAGAUUCAUGAAGACAUGAGCAUUAACAGAAGACAUGUCCAUUCCAUCCAAAAACAGAUGUCUGACCUCGGUUAGGUUGUGAACAAGUCCCUCCAGAGCAUGUUUGUCAAUUGUUUGUGCAUCACCCCAACAGGAGAGAUCAAGUGAAACCAAUUUUGACAGGUGGGAGACUUGGGAUGGGACUUCUCCUGCAAACCCUGUAUUGGAAAGGUUGAGGUAGAAUAGGCUUGUAAACCGACCUAAGUCGGAUGGAAUUUUGGAAAGAUUAAAAUCAUUGAAGGCAAGGUUGAGUUUUUGAAGGUGAGGAAGAAGGAAGAGAGUGGUAUUGGAAGGGAAGUUGCCAGAUAGCCAACUGCAGCUCAAGUCAAGGGCAAUAACAUGAGCAUUUAG